UCACGGCUGAUGAAUCACGGCACAUGUAAAAACUGAAUCUGGCAGAGCACAAACGCGUAAGCCUCUUAAGGUUUGGCACCUGAAGAAUUUGCAGGGCUAUGUAUAGUAGACAUGUAGAUUGAGACCCUGCAGAGCUUCUACAUGCAGAAUGUUAUUGGUCACUUGUGUAUCAGUACUAGUAAUGCAGUAUCCCUUGUGAAAUAAAGGUUUUCCUGCUGCUUCGUCAGUACUAGUAAUGUAGUAUCCCUUUGUGAAAUAAAGGUUUUCCUGCUGCUUCAUCAGAAUAGAACAUCUUCCAAGAAGAGCAGAAAUCAAACUGCAAGAACUAAUGCACCGAAUCACAAAGCUUUGCAAAAUCGUGUACAGAUUUGUACUAGGGCGGCAAGGAAAUUGACUCGGAGCCCAGGAGAUUGGACAUGAUAAAAAGAAAUUUUGCCAACUACAAAUACCUCAUAUGUCAACAGAAACUAAGAUAAACAAUACACUGGGACACUGGGUCACUUGCCAUUCUUCAAACUCCUGGUGAUGAGACUGAUUUUAGUACAUAUAAUACCAGCCAGCAGUUUACUACAGAAAUAGCAAAAUGUGAUAAAGGAAGCUGAGGCACAACUCUCUCCUUCCAUUGGAGUCGGCUUGAUAGGUUCCUACGCACUGAGUCCAGGUUCAUCAGGUGUAACUUGAGCGCGGAUCGCCUCUCGAACAAGACACGUCGACGAUGACUUGUUUUCUAGCUCUUCUGCAGAUGAAACAGAUGCUGCAAUGUCAACUUUGGUUGCUUGCUCUGAAGGCAGUUUAGGGAGAGAUUUCCGUUGGGGCUUCUUCACUGCAUUUGCAGCAGGUGCUUUCUUGACACCAUUUUGGGAGACCCUUUCAUCGAGACUCAGUCGAGCUGAAUGAGCUGGAGGAUUUGAAUUUCCUUCUGUCCCUCCUGAGGAUGUGUUCUUGGAGCGACCAAGCUUUGGUGAUCUAGCUCUUGUUGUAGGGAUCUAAGAUCAACAGAAAAUAUAGCAUCCUUCAGAAGUUAGGAUAGAGCCAUAACCUUUAUACCUAGGCAGCUAAGAAAAUUUUAAGUGUGACAUAGCUGUAAUUGGAAAUUCAAAAGAAACAAUCCAGUGAAAACAAGACCAGACUAGGCUUUUCUUAUUGGAAUAGCUGCUAACUCCAGAAAAAAUAUGGAUUAUGGACUUGCAAUGAAUUUAGCAUAUAACUAUUAAUUAGGUUACAAACCUAACAAUACAACAAAUGGCCGAACUAAAGAAAAUAACAUGAUCAUGGGGGUAAUCGUUCAUUUUAUCUAUUAAGCUAUCAAUUAAGGAUAUCGUUUACAGGUUGUGCAAAGUGCAUGAUAAAUCUUAAACAUUGUAUAGGCAAAAGACUGUAAUUGGAUUUAGCUAUUACAAAAUAUGAUAUGUUAUAUUUGAGUACAAGACUGCAAAGCUCAAUAGAGUAAAAUUUUGUAGCUACACAAAGAAAGAAAAGCUCCUUUAUUACCUUGUUAAAGAAUGUUAUACCAAGAUUAAGGUCUUCGGUUCAACAUGAUGGUAAAAUGAAUUAAAGAACUAUUGCAUUUCUAUAAGUCACGUUAAACCUUAACAGGCAAAAACUUGAAGGAUGAUUAUUUGAUAAAUAUAAUCUUUUUCAAGCUGAAUUGUAAUGCCGAUAAUUUUCUCUUUAGCAGUAAACUGAGAUAUUUUGUGAUUUAGAUAUAGCAUAUAUCUGCAGCCAGCAAUUCAACGGAGGGAAAACAGGAAGAAGAAAUUAAGCCAUAAGCACGGGGGACAAUUACCUUCUUCAACUCAACCUUGGGGGGAGGUGGUUCCUUGUAAAAGCUGGGCAUUGGUGUUGCCUUGAAAUUUAAACUCUUUCUCAGCAUUUUGAGUUCAGCUUCUUCAGUUUCCUGCACAGCAGUAACAAACGGAUAAAGUCAACAUUAUAUUCAAUGUCGCAUCAAGCAAUAUCACUUCCGUAGUAAUAUGAAAAUAGAAUAAGGGCACAAACCUUUGAUUUUGCCUGCAAGUUGCUUUUCUCCAGUUCCUGUGCAUGAAUCUUCUCCUCGAGCUUUGUGUAGAACUAUAUAAUUGCAGAAUAGUGUAAGCAAAGGAAUGGUGCCCAUAUGUUCUUAAAGUAAAACCAGUGCUAAGUUAUCUACAAUGAGUUACCUCUCUUCUUUUUUCAGCUCUCUCAUCACACUUAAAACUAAAUCCAUAUGAAGGAGUGCUGCCAACCCUUUGAGGUUUCACACCUUCAUUUGAUUCUUCUUCAAUAUCCUUUUUGACAGAAUGCUGGUUUGGUGCCUUCUGAGUUUUCUUCUUCUCUCUGGAUUGGAAUGAAGCACAUGAUAUUGCAAGAAAGUCUUUUAUAUUUAAAUGCGCUAGUAAGAGAACAAAUUUAUGGAGAAAAAGUAUUUAGGGUAUGACUUGGAUGGAAAGUUGGAAACAUAUAUACAUGUUGCAAGAAAAUUGUGUAGAAACUAAUGGUAAGACUUGGUUUCACAGCACAGUUUCAAUUAUCACAAGAUGGAAGUCAAAGCAAACAGUAGUAGUUCCAAAAUAGUAAAUGCCAAAGCAAGAACAUUUAAAAAAAAUACUGUGCAACUAUAAAAUGUUUGUGGCACAAACAACAAUAAGGUUCAAAUAAAUAAGUUUUCUUUAGUGUGUGUGUGUGGGGGGGGCUCCUUCACAUAUUUGACGGAAGACACUUCAAAAAAUUCAUUGAAUUAUGCUACACACUUAUGCUACCAAAAAAAUGUAGCAAACAUAGUUGUACCAAUAAUUCAUAGAAUUGUCACACUCAAGGCAAUCUAGGUAAUAAAAGCUCAACAAUCUAGGUAACAAAAGCUCAACCAACCUAGAAGGAACUAGAUCCCUUUUUAAUUAAGAAAAUAGGCACCGAAAUUCGCCCUGACGAGGACUUGACUUAGGUGGUUUGGGCGUACGUCCACACCAACAACCAACUGAGCUAGGAUCAGUUCAUUACCAUCUGAGUAAUUAGUAGGCCUGGCUGGAUGCUUAGAGCACCAAUUUGAAUCCAGGAUCCAAAUGAGAAACAGAAACCAUGUAGCAACACAGAAUCACAAAGUGCAAAACGAAGAAACAAACAACUUACUUUGAGUCCUCAAGUGAUGGGCUCUCCUUGGCAACUGGACGGAAACUGCUCUUUUCGGCCUUCUGAUGAAAUCACCAACAACAAAAUGUAUAAGUUUCAAACUUCAAAUUGCAAGGUGCAUAAACAUUCCUACAAGUAAUAUAGUAGCAAUCAUGCAUUGAGCUAUAAAAAUAUAGAUGGGCACAUCGUAACUCAUAAGCUAUAACAAAAAUUAAUUAACUUACUUUCUUACUGGCACCAGCAUCGCCAUUGCUGGAAGAGCUAUCAACUAGAUCUGGAUCAGAAACCCGUGCAAUGGGCGCCUUAGGAUAAGAAGAAGGACUGGGAGAGCUUUUCCUAGCUUGACUCUUAUCCCCGCCUCGAGGGCUCUGUCGCUGAGAUUUAGUAACAACCUUCGGUGAAUGGCCUUGAACCCCCUAGAACACAUGAAAAUGCCAGAGAACAUGUGACUGUCAGUAAACCACUGAUUGAAGUCACCAGAACUGACAAUCUGUAAACGUAAAAAAACUUACCUCAGGAACUCGGGGCUUUAUGUCCUGGGAUUGCGAGGUGGCUUCCAUUUCCACUUCUUCAGAUGGGUUGAUCACCUCGCUCUCGCCCGAAUGCGCUCCAUCAGCCAGCCCGUCAUGUUCUUCUGCGUGGCCCUCUACAUUAUCACUGGGCGGCAACUUCCCCUUGGUCCCAUUGUCAAUGCCCAUUGCGCCAAUAGCAUCAGUAACCUCCGCACUCGCAUCCAUGUCGCGAUACUGUCUCAGGGUUUCUUUAGACCAGGUUAAAAAGAGAACUCCCACGCCACCAGCUUAAACAAGCUAUCCGCAAAUCACCGCAGGAUCAUGCUAUGCCGGUCAGCAAAUGAAUCCGCAUCAAACUAGACUGAACGCAGAGAAAGAAACAUUUGGUUUCAGCGCUCACAACAAAGUUGAGAUUUGCAGAAUAACAGGAGCAGUCCGUCCAAGAAAGCAAGGGCGUCCUCACCUGCGAGAGAUGGAAUCAGCUCCUCAGCCCCUGGCGGAUCCGAUCUCCGCUCCACCCCAGCGGCGCCCAGUGGGGACGAAGACGGCGAAGAAUCCGACCGGAGGGGUACGGCAGGCGCGGUCUCGGUCAAAGGAUACCUGGAUCUGGAUCGAGCCGUGGCUCUUGAGCGAAUGAAAGGAAAUGGUAAGGGAAAGGAAAGGAAAGGAAAGGUGGCGGCUUUACCUGGCCAGACGAAAGCGAUGGGGAGUGGAGCGGCUGAAGCGCGAGCGGGAGGCAAAGAGGGGAGUUAGGCACGGUGAAGGCGGGAGAGAGUGACGGUGGCCAGAGACUCCGGCGGUGGCGGCGGCGGAGGGAGGGCGGGACGGCGGGAGGGAGACAGCGGGGGCGUGCGUGGCUCGUGCUUUGUCUGGGUUUCCGGGUGGUGGUUUCGAAUUUCUACUUGGACCUUUCUGCGUUCCUCCAAAGCUAACUUUCUGCUUUCAGUGUUUUUCUCCUAUAUUUAUUUACCUCCAAUUUCGUCUUGUUAUAUGGUUUUUUUGUCUUCUCCUGCUGUUUAUGGGUUGUUUUGUUGGAUUAGAUGCGCUGUUUAUUGUUUCUUUAUUUGUUUGUUUUCUGGUUAUACAAUCUUAGGUGUUGUUUGGUUCAUAUUUAUGUAACUUAAUAUUACAGUGCUAAACGACAACGCUAGAUCGGGCACUCCCAAUGCAGAAACUAUCAUACUUUCUAUAGACAUUAACUAUAGUGUCACCUAAACAUUUUGUUGAUGUGGCAAGAUAAUUAUUGAAGAGAGAGAGUAAAAAUCAUAGAAACCGAAUCUAAGGCCUUGUUUAGAUGCAAAAUUUUUUUGAAUUUUGACACUGUAGCACUUUCGUUUUUAUUUGACAAACAUUAUCCAAUUAUGGAGCAACUAGGCUUAAAAGAUUUGUCUCGUGAUUUACAGGUAAACUAUGCUAUUAGUUAUCUUUUUUAUCUAUAUUUAAUGUUCCAUGCAUAUGUCGCAAGAUUCGAUGUGAUGGAGAAUCUUGUAAAGUUUUUUUGUUUUUUGAGUGUAUCUAAACAAGGCCAAGUUAGAAACCAUGUCUACACGAGAUUCAAGACAUGAAGUGAUAUGAUUGGUUGAGAAUGGAGAGAGAAUGAAUGUGAUUGGAUAAAAAAUUAUUGUAUAGAAACUAUCCAUUGGGGUCAUAGUUUCUAUACAUAGUGUCUAUAAAAAAUUAAUAUGUAUAGAAAUUAUUUGUAGUUUCUAACAUUGAGAGUACCCUAAUCGAGUAUCACACCUUGCCUAAAAAAAUUGUAUCACAUGUUCAAAUAUGCACAACCAAAAUUUUCAACUUCUCCUAGUAAUGUGGGCUGCUUUUAGGCCCUGUUUAGUUUCUCAUCCAAAAUUUUUUCAUCCAUCCCAUCGAAUCUUUGGACACAUGCAUGGAACAUUAAAUGUACAUAAAAAAUAAACUAAUUACGUAGUUUGGUUGAAAAUCGCGAGACGAAUCUUUUAAGCCUAGUUACUCCAUGAUUAGCCUUAAGUACUACAAUAACCCACAUGUGCUAAUGAUAGAUUAAUUAUGCUUAAUAGAUUUGUCUUGCAGUUUCCUGACGAGCUAUGUAAUUUGUUUUUUUAUUAGUUUCUAAAAACCUAUCCCGACAUCCUUCCGACACAUCCGAUGUGACACCCAAAAAAUUUUCAUCUCCAAUCUAAACAGGGCCUUAAUGUUUUAGUAUUCAAAAUUUAGUAUAAACUUUUCAUAGUAAAUAUCUUCUAGUAAAGAUUCUCUAGUGCUAUAAAUAGUAUUUUAUUAUUAAUUAAAAACACCAAGAGAACUCUACUAAUUUGGUAGAACAUAUAAAGCUUGUUAUCGCUCCUAGACCUUCAUAAAUGACAAGAGCGGUGGGCAAUUAGAGCCGUCGAGCUUGGCCACACGUGAUGCACCUACGCAAGGUUAGUAUAGAGACAUGUACAGUUAGGUUCUAUUUGGCACAAUUUCAUUUCACCAGUGAAGCUGUUUUUGGAGGCUUUAGCUUUAUAAACAGCUCUAUCGAUAGAGUUGGAGCCGUUUUGUUAAAUCGUUUGGCAAAACAACUCCUUCUAUAAAUUAUGCUUUCAUAGAACGGUACAUAGGAUGAGGUGAAGCCAAGAUAAACUAUUAUUUUUGGCUCAUUCGCACCCCAUUGUUACGGGCUUCAUCGGUGGAGCCAUUUUAUUUUACCCAUUUGGCAAAUGACUUUUAAAGCCGAUGGAGAAGUCGUGCCAAACGAGGCCUUACAACCCUUAUCUUAGCAAUCGGAAGUCGUUAUUUAACAAAACCAAACAAAUCGCAUAAUUGUUUGAUCUUAUUUCAUUCUGGUUGCUUUUUGUUAUCCACUGAUGUUAGGGUCAUAUAUUUGGAACAAAAUGUUAUGCUAGUCUUUUCUAUAAGAGACAUGGUGGGUGUCGUGAACAUCGAACUAUGCUUUAAAAUUUCAAGAGUUCUCUUGAAGUUUAAACUAUAUUGAAGGAUUUUCUCUCAAUUGCCUAACAUAAUACAUAGAUUGGGGAGCUUACAUGGAAAUGUUGUUUUUUUCUUAUUUUUUUGUUUUUAUAUGUGCUUUUCUUAGGCUGUUUUAAUGGUUGAAAGUGGUUCGUUAAUAAAGAAGUUGACUCAUGCCACACAUCAGACCAACUCCACUUGUAAAAAGCCUAUUGAAAAUGUUGUCACAAACAUCGAUCACCCUCAGUCCAAGGAACUUGAUAAAAGUGGGCUCAGCGAAGUAACCAAGGCAAUGAUAUAUGACUUGCAUAGAGUGGAUGAGUAUUGAGCUAGAGGUGUGAGCUAGCUAGUAGAAUUUGUUUUGAUAUGCCUCUAGAAAUCCUACUAACACAUCGAUUCAUGUAUUUCUCUUAUUUUCCCAUACUCCCUCUGUAUCGGAAAAAACGUCGUCCUGGCCAGUUCCCUCGUUUGCGAAAAGCAUGUCGUUCUGAUACCGCAGCCACUAUUUUGGACGCAAAUACCCUUGCCUCUUCGAUCCCCGCACCAUGUAUUUACACAGCCCACCACACCGCGAGCAACCAAAACGCACUAAAACUAAAAUAAUCGCAACGGCACGGGGGAUCAAACCCGCACCUGCACCAUCUCACCUCCGAACCCACCGUAGUAGCCAGUAAACAUGUGUAACUUUCUUGUAUGGAAUUUAGCAGCAGCCAUAUUUAAUGAGGGGUAGACAAGGAAAACUCUACCCUAAUUAAUGACUCCUUGGUUUGCUAAAUGCUGUCUUUAACGUCAUUUUUUACCAGUAUGGAGGGAGUAUUAUUUAAGUUAUUUAAGAUGUCAAAAUGAUUUUGAAUUAAGGAGCAUAGGCAUCGUCAACAAGCAUGACUUCAUCCGGAGGAAAAAAACAACCACAAAACGAGCCCCAAUUUAGAGGUUAAGCAACGUCAUUUGGCUCUAAGUAGAAGAGAAACGUGCUCUCUUUGACAUUUAUUUAGAUUAUAAAUAAAUAUAUUAAAGUAUUACUCCUUUUGUUCUAAAUUCUAAAAUCUUUUGCUAUGUAUUUAGAUCUGCACUAUAUCUAGAUAUAUAAUAAAAACAAUGUACUGAAAAGCCAAAAUAUCUUAUUAUUUGAAAUAGAGUGAGUACGUAGUAAAGUCUAGAAGUUUGCUAACCCAAUAAUAAGCAUACUAUUCAAAUUUUAUGGGGUCAACCAUUUCCUCUCUCCAAUGUGGAUUUCUAGAUAUGAGUAGUUAUAGUUUUUUUUCCACAAAUCGACAUUGGAUUUACCCAUCCCGUUUUAAAUUGUCACUACAAAAAGCCCACACGGGAGUGAAUGUGGAUUUAAGUGGCGUGGUUUAUAAAUCUAGUAGGGCAUAAUUUUCAUAGACCAAGUAUAUAUAGAAGGUUACCCUUCGAAAGAAAAAACAUAGCUCAAAGAAUACACAACAUCUAUAACUACAAACCCACCUCAUGAUGCCUUGCAAGCAACAACUUUGUGUCACUUUAUAUCCUUUUAUAGAUCAACCAUAUAUAGUAUUGAGAAAACACAACCUAAUCAGAAUUAUUAAAUAUCAGUAUAGUUUACUGUAUGUCUGUAGAAUGUCCGAAGCUACGCAAGUUAGCACCAUACAACACAAACAACCACAAAUUGAUAAAUAAGAAGUGGUUCUAUUUUUAGUUAAAUCAUCUUCCAUACAUUGAUAAAUGAGACAAUAAUGAGGGAAUUGGUUUGAUUUCUGAUGUGAUGCUGAGACAUGAGAGGCUACCAUAUGUAUGAUAUAGGUAUGGGUAAAGUAUACACGGAGAAGCAUAGGACCCAUGACAAAAUGAUAUGAGUCUGAAAAGAGAUAACACUCUCAUUUGAACUAUAUAAUAACUAGUUAGAUGAUGAUUUUUCUCCAAACUAAAAUUCCAAAAUUUCUGCCUCUGCCUACAUGUCUUGUAAUUGAUCCACGGGACACCUUUUUGAAUGUCAUAUCCAGUGUUAACAUGUUUUUAUUAGCGCUAUUUGUUAUUUGUAUCUAUACAUAUCUAUAAAGAGAGAAAAUUUCAGUCUGUCCAAAACUUUUCUGCCUCGCCAGUCCAGAAUAAAAGUUUUUCUAGAGUUUCUAAUACAAAAUUUUCUAUACACAUCAAAGCACAUUAAAAAUAAAAAAAUUACAGGGUCCUAAGUGUAAAUCUGUCCCCUACCCUCCGUCCGAAAUCGCCCGGCAGGCUGGCCGCUCGGCCUUCGUCCGGAAUAGCACGGGCACGCUGAUGGAAGUGUAAAAAAUAGAAGUUUUUCUAGGUUUUCAAUGCAAAAUUUCCUAUAGACCACGUCGAGAAUAAAAAAAAGUAUAAGAGCCUAUAUACAAAGUGUUUGUCUUAUUAGUUUACUUUUCUUUUAUUUUUUAAAUCGGGUGAAAAUUGAUAAAUACACAGUAAUUUAUAGAAAAAAAUAAAAAAAAUACAAAACAAAUUUUGUUCAGCUCUACAUAUGUACAUCCAUACAGUAAACAAACAAUAUCAGUAAUUUAUAGAAAAAACAAAAAAUUACAAAACAAAUUUUGUUUAGCUCUACAUAUGUACAUCCAUGCAGUAGACAAAAAGUAUCACAAAUUUUAAUAUAUUUUUUUGCUGGAGAUGCUUGCUAUGCUUUUUAGUGUAAAAUUGAAAUUAUAGUUAUCUUGCUCCAAUUAUUAUGAAAAUUUUAUGAUAGCCUAUUUAAUGUGAUAUGUGAUGCUUGAUUUGUGAUAAAAGUUUUAGUACCAUUCCUGCAUAUCUCACUGAUUUACUAAUUUACUUAAAUUUAUGCUUGAGGAUGCUUCCACUACCUUUGCACGAUGUGUUGUUAUGUUAUAUGAACACUUUAUAAGCCCAUGUUUAUAAUCUAAAUACAUUUAACUGAUAUAUCAUAUUUCAUAGGAAUUCUAAUCUAAAUAAAAAAAGUUAGCAAUGAACUUCUCAUGUUUUAAUAUAAUACUAAGGUAUAUUAAGAGGUAAUAUUAGAGUAAGAUAAGUUUUGACUAAUUUCUAUUUUUAUUAUUAAAUAAAUAUGUCUCCAAGCUAUAUAUUAUUGUAAAUAUUAACUAUCUAAUACCAUAAUACCAUAGAUGUCAUGGUUAUCAAUAAAAUAAAUUAUGAGCUUUAAAUUUUAUAAAAAGGAUAAAUAUAACUAGAUAUACAACAUUAUGUUAUCACUUUGUAUGGCCAUUUGAUGUUUUUUUCCCGGUGCAACGUACGGACAUAUUUGCUAGUUUAAUAAUAAGAAGAAGAAAGAAGAGGAAAAACAUGGGUUUUCUUAAACUAAAACAUUGGUUUUUUUUUUUGAAAAAAAGAGGAAGAACAGGUAGACUAGUACGUUUGCCAUUGGGCCUUUUGGGCUGUCGUCUUUCCUAACCCAAAUCGCGCCGCCGCACACAAACAGCCGUCAGCGCAUGAACCAAGUGAGAGCGUGACUAGAAAGCGGGGGAGCAAGCAGCGCAGCGCAGAGCGCCGGGCCGCCGGCUAAGCGGGAGGCGAAGGCGAGGAUGAUGGGGUCGGGCCGGUGGCAGUCUCCGGCUGGCGCUCCUGCGGCCGCCGAUGCCGCGGAGGAGGACACCGGCGGCGUCGGGGGCCCGUCCAGGCGGCCGCUGCGCCACGGGUUGCACCGCGCGUCGCCCUACGGGGGUGGCCUCCGCCGCCGGCUGCUCAAGCCCCCCGUGGCUUCGAGGAUAUUCCCCACCAUGCCACGCGACCGCGCCGCCUCCGGUGAUUCCCCUCACUGCCCUCGUUGUCUUGCUUGUCUGCUGACGGCUGGUGCCCGUUUUCGGAAGAGGAUCAAAUGGGGAAACUAUGCGACGUUUUACCUAUUCUGUUAGCGAGUUUGUCGCCAUUGGUGGAUGAGUUCACUGUAGCUCGCGUUUUGUUUCAGAUCAGCGCCAGUCUAUCUAGGGUUUAGGGUUAAGCGCCUGUGCAGCUCAUGCCAUUUUACUCUUUGCAUUGCAUCAAUCUCCAACCUAGGGUUUGAUGUGAAGUUAUCUGGUGCCUGGUUUUCUGAAUCCACUAGUGGAUUCAUGAUCAAGCGUGGCAAAAGUCUACCAACUGAUGGGAUUUAGUUAAGCUACUUCCUGACAAUUACUAUUGUUUUGGACUUCGGAUUGCUGUGGUUUGCGAUCGUUUAGUUAUUGGUUAUGCUCUUUGGAAUGGGCCUACUAGUUGAUGUCUAGUGAACUUUGAGGUCAAGUUUGGGUUUCCCGAUCCUUUUGUUGUUAGUGUAAGGGUCUGUUUGGAACUAACAACUAGUCCCAUCAGCUCCUAUAUGUGGACUAAUAGACUAACACUAGUCCAUGACUAGGAGAACAAUUAUUCUGUCUAUUUGGAUCGUUAGGGACUAAAAAUUAGUCAACUAGUUGUUAGUCCUAUGGACCCAAACAGGGCCUACUGAUGUCCAACUGGUAUUAUAGGAUCAUAGGAGUAACAAGAGUAGUAUUAGUGAUAAACUGUUAUAUACUCUUUAAUUUAUAUAUGACCUCAUUAUUUAUUUCAGUUCUUUGCUCUAGGGGAAUAGUUUCUUAGCAGCACUCCCAUAUAUAUUGUUGUUAUAUUUUUUGACGCAUCUAUUAAAUUAUGGUCAUGUGAUGUAUUUGUUGGUUAUCAUGUAGAUCGAUCAUACUUGACGAGUUUACAUAUAGCCUCCAAUCAUGCAGAGUCUUCAAUGUGGAUUACUUAAUGGUGUUUUGAAUGUAUGCAGAUAAUGAUCAAGAGGUUCAUCGUGAAUCACUGGAAGUUAUUCAGGAAGUAAGCAAAGUUACUUAUCUUGGAAAUGCUUUUUUUUUUGAUUUAUUGAAGUACAUUUUUUCUGUCUAUGGAGUCUAUUUUUAAUAUGUAUUAUGUCACUUCAAAUAAAAUGCUGCAGCUGUCAGAAGAAAAUGUAAUCACACCAGAUAACUUUUGUUAGUACUAUUAAACUCCCUUCUCUUAGUCUAUUACUGUUCAAAACCUAGAUCAUAUUGCUGAUCUAUCAGUGUCUGAACUGUGGAAUUCCACACCCCCACCUCAUGUCCCAGCUUCAGUGGUGAGCUCCCUGAUCCUCCUAUGCUGCUGGGAGCUCUGGAAACACCGACACGACGUCGUGUUCCGGAGCUUGGCUCCUGACCAAAACCGACUCGUGGCCACCCACAGAGAAGCGGUCAGGCUCUGGAGCUGCCGCCUACCAUGGAAGGACACUGUGCUAAUAGAUUGUUGGAGCUCGAUCUUGAAUAUGUAAUCCGUCCCUCAUCCUCUCUUUAACCUCACUGUAAUCAGAUUGGCUCCAUGCCCUUCCACCCCCUGGCUUUGCCCGGCAUCUGUGGAAUGAAAAUUCAGGUGGGGAGAUCUUACUUCCCCCUGGUGUUGACCUCAAAAAUACUGCCGAUCUAUAUUGGCUGCCUGCUUAAUAGCAUGCCUCAGAUGUUGCAAUGGUUCCUAUAUUCCCUAUGCAUAUCCUGCACUUUUGAUUUUAUCACAGCAAUGCUUUCAAGUUCAUAAAUGGUGGAUCUAGAAGGAUAAUGAUUGCUAACCAUAUUCUAUUUUGCCUUUUGUGUUACUUAUGAACUGCAAGAUUUUUUUAUCAGUUUCUACCUUGUUUUUCUAUGUUUUCUCCAUUUAUUUCCCAGUCAAGAUAUAUCUGUGUGUGAAUGUUGUCUUUAAUCUCUCACUCGGUAAUAUAAACUGUAGAGACACUCCACACAACCAAACAUCAAUGCUGCAGCCAUCCUACCACCAAGAUCUGUUAGCAAUACAUUCAAUCUGCUUCUGGAAGGUGACAGGAAUCCAAGUCAUGGUAAUGGGCUUGCUGACAUUGAGAACAUAAUCAACCAGAGCUAUUUUUCUAGGCAGGUUUUUCCGUACCUCCUGAGUUUUGACUGUUAUGUUAUAUAUAUUUUUAGUUCAUUGAAGUUGCUUCUAUCUUUUGAAAGGUAGAGUAAUGAACUUUCUAAUUUCCCCUUGAUUGCUUAAUUUGUUAUCCAAAUACACACUCUGAUUGAAAUUAUAAAUCAGUUUAUGAUAUGUAUUGGUAAAAUUAUAUAAAAUAAUUAUGUAGAUUGAAAAUAUAAAAUUGAUACUACUAGAUGCAUGAUUAAGAGGGCUUCUGCAAUUUAUAGUUCUUUUACUUGAAAUAAUAUAAUGCUGAAGAAUCACUAGUCAAAGUGUUGUUGGAGAUCGAAUCAGUGCCCUAAACUUACCUUUCCCCAAAAUGUAAAACCCCUGGGGGAAAUUGUAGGGCACAAUGGGUGAGUGGGAAUUGGAUUUUGAUGACAAAUUGUUGACACAGGUGUUGUUAUCAAAGGAUGUUACAUUCAAAUGUCAUAUCAUGCACAUUGCUUUUUUAUAUUAUUUUACUUCUUUCGAUUGACUGCCAUAACUGGAGUCAUCACACAUCACGUGGAGAAAGAUUUAUGUCUAUAUUGGACAACAUUUGUGGUUGCCUAGUAUUCUUGAGUUUAUUGUGCAUUUAGGUUUGGAACUUCAGAUCCCUGUGACCCUCUUUGGUCUUAUACAGGGAUGAGACACUACGUCUUAUAGAGAUCAUACGGUCAAGGACUGUUGAUAUUGGUGUUGAAGGUCAGAGACCUCCAGUAUCUACUGCAAAAUAUUUUGAAACAACAUCAUUUUCAACACCUGCCAAACUGAUUGAGGAUCAGCCAUCUUGGAGGACCGAUGUUGUUCCAUCAUCCAAUGUAAGAAUGACUUAACUGUGCAAUAUCAACUCAUGAUUACUUAUCUGUACAGGACAUAUUGGUGGAUACCUGCUGAUCCUGGUGCCUUUGUUAUUUCUAUGUGAUGUGAAUCCUGCCUAUAUGCUUUUGAAGUUCAAGUAUGCUUGUAGCUGAGUGAUAGUUUUCUGAUCUCUGUGUAAUUUAAAAAAUUGAUCCAAGCAUUUUAAUAUCCCUCCCUCUGAUAGCACGAGAGGGUGUGCUGGUCUGCUGGAGACUGGAGAGUUAUAUAUGCACAGUGCUUAAGCAAUACAAAAAUAAUCCUACGGGUUUUUUCGCUUGAUUUGUUGUUUUCUCUUAUCUUGUGCUUUAUUGUCAUUGUAGGUGCAUGAAAUUGGUUCUUCACCGAUUGAAAUUGCAAAAGCUUAUAUGGAAGCACAGACCUCAGCUUCUGUACAUGAGUACAAAAAACGGAAAUUCAGAGCUUUGAGUCAUGGAGUUGAGGAUGACAAUUCAACAUCAAAAGUUUUCCCUACAAUAACUACUGAUUCUUCUGUAUGCUUGCCUGGUUCAGUUGUUCGAGGCUGUCCCAAUUAUCUUACACCACAAAGUAAUAAAGGAAGGACCCUGCCUCAGCCUCUUUCUCGCACACCAUACAAUAGAUCAGUUUUUCGAAGAUAUAUUAAGGUGGCUAUUGACUUUGCAAUUUAUUUGUAUUCUAAGCUAUGCAAUGUCUCUUAUUUGUCAUCAACUGUGUCUAUCACUAUUUACUAGCAUUCAAAUAUUACCUUUGGAAGCUAAAAGGUUUCAUGCUUCUGUAACUACAGAACAGCAGGCAUGGUGAUACAUACAAUAAUGGACAGACACAAUUUUCCAUUCCAUUUUCUACUGGAAGUAAGGUACUAGCUAGUUGCCCGUCCAUUGCAACAGAUUUUCAUUAUGAAGUAUUCGAAAUUUGUUUAAUCGUUUAUCCAUAAUAAAGAAACCACACAGAUACAAGGUGGAAGACCAUCUGUUGCAUUAUUUGUACACCUACGUAUUCACAAAUCAGUGCAUAGUAGAUCCUUGUGUAGAAACCAACCACCUGUACCAACUGUUUUUUAUAGAAGUAAAGAUAAAUUUGAUGUAUUUUACUGUUAUCAUGAUACACACUUGUCUCUUUUGCUUCAUGAAAAUAAGAAACUUGGACAGAUUUAAGUCCACAUAAUUGUACUAUAUGUUGGAACUAUUUGUGCAUGUUUGUAAUAACUAAUCAAUUUUAUUCUGCCUUGUAUGUGAUUGAGUGAUAUUGUUCUCCGUUUGAAAGGUUGUCAAACCUGAUUGUAUUUGACUACUGCAAUUAUUGUACAACAUCCUCAAAAACUUUGAACAACAACCGACAACUGAAAAUCAGUUAUAACUUUGCUUGCUAUGUUUAGACCUUAUAAAAAUGCCGUCACAUGGGGAAAAAAUUAAUGUAAAGAUGUUGUACGGACAUCUGUACCUUUUUGUCUGAUAAUAUUCUUAUUUGCUUUAUAGACAAUACUAGAGGAUAAACAUGCAUCAAUAAGUGGUGGUAUGGUGCAGCCUUCAUCUUCCAGGGGACAGAUAGAUCUUUUUGAUUCUAUUCCAAGAGAAGGUUCUGCCGCAAUGAAGAAUGUUGCAUUCAACUUGCAAGGGUCAGAUGACAAAAGCAUGACAGAAAGUAGAGCAACUUUUGGACGUGUUUCAGGUGUAGACAAUAUCUCCAGGGGUGCUUCAGUAUCUGUUCAUCCCAAGUCAAGUGAAACAGCUUUCAAAAUACUUAAGCAACUUGACAGAACUAUUCCUUCCCCUACAUCAAAGCCACUAGGGCUGAGACAGACAUUAGCCAAGAGAAAUACUUCUUCUGUUGCCACCAACAGACAGAUCAAUGGGCCUGAUUUCAGUAUCGGUAAUGGUAAUAGACAGAGCAGCAUUAAUGAGAGUGGCAGUGCUAACUCGGAGACUACAUAUGGAAAGAAGGUAUAUACUCCGAUUUGCAUUUUCUAGCACAAUCUACUGUACCACUGUUUACUAAUUGUACAUGUUAUGAGGGCAAUGAAAGAUUUUUAGUGAUCUUGCCAAUAGGUACUCUGAAUCUUGUUUGAACAUAAAAUCAAUUGUAUACAUGCACUACUGAAUUACUGAAAAAUUGCUAUAUGCACUUCUAAUUGUUGUAUUGCAAUGCAAAACAGAAAUUUUCUCCUGAUCAUUUACUUUAGUUUGUUCUCUACUGCUAUUUUCAGUUGAUCACUGCAGAUUGGAUCAGUUAAUCAAUUUAGCAGAUCCCUGGUAGCAUCAAACUAUAGAUACUCCACUAAUCAGUUGGUUGUGUUUCACCUUGUGUAGGUUCAGCAACCUCAAAGCAGUCCUAUUGCAGAAGAGUCAAGUGAAAAAGUCCAGAGAAGCAGAGCUAACUCAGAUGUUUCUGAAGCAGGCACUUCUCAGCAGCCUCGGAAAUCAAAUUUAGCACCCACUUCAGUUGCGGAGGUCUUGAAUAAUAAAAACACUAGCAGAGGUUUCAGCUUCACAUUUCCUAUUCCUAAAGCUCCAAGUUCUCUACUUGAACCGCCACCUACACCAACUAUGGCUUCACCACCACCGACCCUGCCAAUCACUAAUGAAGAUAUUCCCAAGUUCACUUUUGGCUCACCCAGUACUGCCAACAAACUCGUUUUCUCCUUCAACUCCACAAGCAGUUCUCUUGGUGCUGGGGGAACAGACCCAACCUUCAAAUUUGGAUCUGAUAAUAAGCGAGAGCUUGUGUUUUGAUAUAGUUGGCAAAGGUGCAGUUUGUUUUUGAUAGAUGCCAUGCCAGCGGAUCUGUAUUCUACCUCUCUUUCUAUUUUUGGCGUGUUGUUGAAAGACGUCUUUAGAAAGACCGUUGGAUGCGCUACUUGAACUAUACAUGAGGACAUUCGUUUCAUUUAUCAGUAAUUCAGUAUAUUCAAACUUUUUUUUAUACAUAUUCUAGGCGUUCUUCGUUGGCAGGAUAUUUCCCCAGUGAUUUGCACCCGUGGCUGUGUCAUUGGGCAUUAGUCCUUUUGUUCUAUAAUUUUGAAGCUUUCACAGCUGAAUGGAGUUCCACCAUCCUUUUGGUCCAAGGUAUGUGAUCUGUCACUGCUGAAUGCUGAUAUAAUCCGUUGAAAAGCGCUGCUUUCUUGGCAAAGCACGUUUGAAACUGCGCAUUUUUGACGCAUGAAUGCACCAGCCGGUUUAUGAUGGUAACCAAAAGGCACGAGGAUGGCCUGGUUUCUAAAGACAGGAGUCCGAGUCAUGAAAACGACGUGUUGAUGCGGAAACAGUUGCCUGAUUGCAUCGCAUACACAGACACAGGCUGGAGUCGCCUGGACUGAUUGAUGUCGCCACUGAACCGAAAGCAUGGCGAAAUUUUGCCCAAAUAAUGGUGCCAUACACGUAACCGGGUACGUGUGCAUAUCUGGGGAUUAUAUUUCGUAGCUUCCUGAAGAAAGCUCCACACAUCAAAACUGGAUGCUGGACAAAAUUUCAAUCUUGCUAUUGUAAAUAGACACAAUUUGAUGACACUAUGCAGGAAGGAAAAGUAGACGAGCAGGUACGACUCGAGCAAGACGCGUCGGUCGGCCUGAAGAGAGGUUGGAAAGAAUCUAGUCUGUCAGUCCGUGCAUUAUUCUGUUCUUCCCUGCACUGAAGGUACUAUAAUUGAGCACUGAAGGAAGCGUCAGAUCGUCCGAUUAGGGCCUUGUUUAGUUCCAAUUUUUUUUUGGCAAAAUGAGCACUGUAGCAAUUUCGUUUGUAUUUGACAAAUAUUGUUCAAUCAUGGACUAACUAGGCUCAAAAGAUUCGUCUCGUCAAUUCCGACUAAACUGUGCAAUUAGUUUUUAUUUUUAUAUUUAAUACUUCAUGCAUACGUCUAAAGAUUCGAUGUGACGGAGAAUCUGAAAAAUUUUGCAAAAUUUUUGGGAACUAAACAAGGCCUAGCUACGUUUCACCAACUAGUAGUAGUAGUACUACUAAUAAUCACUCGGCCAGGACUGGGCCAAGCUAGCUAGAGUACGUUCACUCGAGUGCAGUGCAGGCCAGUACGAGCUAGGAGCGUGUCCUGACGGGCAUCACUCGACUGGUGUCUGGCCGGGAAGACCGACCAGCCCGACCCGAUCGGUCAUUAAUGUAGUCAUUCACUAAUGACGCGUCAUUAUCGCCUAAUGAUGCCCUGUAUCUCUCCCGUAGCUUCAGAGGAUCCAGCGUCGCUUUCUCCGGCGGGCCCCGGCUUGACGACGGGCACGAAAUUCCGGUGUGCCCCAUGCAUCAGCCAUGGAAUCAUGGAUCAUCAUAUCAGGGUCUUGUUUAGUUCUAAAAAAAUUUUGUAAAUUUUUUCAGAUUCUUCGUCACAUCGAAUCUUUAAAUAUAUGCAUGAAGUAUUAAACAUAGACAAAAAUAGAAACUAAUUGCAUAGUUUGGUCAAAAUUGACGAGACGAAUCUUUUGAGCCCAGUUAGUCUAUGAUUGGACAAUAUUUGUCAAAUACAAACGAAAAUGCUACGUGUCGAUUUCCCUAAUUUUUUUUUAAAACUAAACAAGGCCCACGAUCCAGUGACGCCAUCGCGGGCCCUCCGCCGGCCCGGCCGGAGAAAAGCUCCGCGCGCGAUGCCAUACGGGUGCACGGUCGCCGUCACGCAACCGGCCGGAGUGCCGGACAACUAGGGUUUCGCAACUGCUGGCCGACCACGGCCUCUCUCCUGGCCGGGACGACGACGACACGAUGGCUUGCCAGCCUUUUCCGUUCCAACGCCUACGGUUAUGCCUUUUUCUCAGCUACGUUACAAACACCUUUCUUUAAGUUCUUUUAUUUUGUUUACAUCUGUUUUUUUUCUCCAAACAUCCUUUGAGGACUUCUUUGCAAAACUAAACUCUCUCGUAGUUUCGUUUCUACAUUUCCAGACUUUCUUCAGUCAGUCAAUGGCGAGGUCUUCAGUCGGAUGCCAUUAGCAAAGCAGCAGUGCAUCUUGGAAAAAGAACUUUGUGGUAGUGAGUGUCAUGUCAUAGCAGGGCUUGUUUAGAUCCAAAAUUUUUUUGGAUUUUGACACUGUAGCACUUUCGUUUUUAUUUGACAAACAUUGUCCAAUCAUAGAGUAACUAAGCUUAAAAGAUUCGUCUCGCGAUUUACAGACAAACUGUGUAAUUAGUUUUUAUUUUUAUCUAUAUUUAAUGCUCCAUGCAUGUGCCGUAAGAUUCGAUGUGAUGGAAAAUCUUUUAAAGUUUUGGGUUUUUGGAUGCAUCUAAAGGCCCUACUGUGGUGAUGACCACUCUUAAAAGCACCACAUCACCCUGGCAUGGCAAAGCUUUUGGGUACCUAAUGAAUAUUAAAUUAGUAUUAGUAUUGCACCGUCAGCACCAAGGAAAACGUAUAUAAAUGGCGACGAUGCUGCUUAGGCACAACAGAAGUUGGCUUUUAGGGCCACUAACACGGUACGGUGUUCACCGGAAUCAAACAAUAAAGGCUUGUUAUGAAGGAAAUAAAAAUAUCAUAAAGGGCUAGACGCGUGUGUAAUUCCACUUUGUUGCCUUGUUGGUUGAUAUGUUUUCUAACGACAUCAUCUCACCUUUCGCUCCACCAACUCUAGUCCUGGAUACCAACACCGAAUUUCUUAUUACUCUGCUGCAAAUCCUUUUAUAUUUUAUUUUAGGGAGACCUUUUCACGAGUGGUCAGAGAAGCUGUGCAAUACUUUGUACAUAACCGCUUUCUUGGAAAGUCAUGAUAUCUAGGUACAAAUUGUCCAAUUUGAGGUUAAUUAAAUUUGUAGGGAACAUGCCUAGUGGUUUGCAAAUGUGGUUCCAAGCCUAUUUAUGUGCACACUAGCCAUUUUCAUUGUAUUGAUCUAAGCUAACAAUUUUCUUAAAAUCACAUAGCUUUCCUAUUCAAGCAAGGCAUUUCAUGUGGAUUUUUUUCCUAAUAACAUAUUUCAAAUUACAAGCUCUAUUUUUUUUUGGGGGGGGGGGGGGUUACAAGCUCUAUAGGAAAAAUAUGAUAGAGCUCUACAUAUCAGUUUUGUUAUUCAUUUCCCAUCUAACAUGCACCUAGAAAUAGGAUGCAUAAAAGAGUAUACCAUCAAAUGCUUUCGGAGGGUGGGGAGGAGGGGGAUUGCAAAACCGCAAAAGAAAGGCAAUUUAUGCUGAUGCCAUGCCAAACAAGCUAGGAAUAUACAAAGAUCCAUACGAAAUACAAAGUACCAUUCCUCCUUUCUUUCCUAUCAUUUCUAGUGUGAUCAAGAAUCCAAAAGUUGCAAAGUGGGUUGUGUCAUCCUUCCAUAUGUUCUCACGCUGCAAUUAUCAUGCCCAAUCACCCAUCCACUUACAAUUGAUCCAACCUUUUUGGAUAUCCUUUUUGGCUAAGGAUACUCUUGAACCCACAUCCUUCAUAUAUGCACGACCACACCCUUUUGUUUUUCAGGAUGAUCAUAUUCAUAUACACCAAGAAAACAAUGGAUUCACAUUACUAUAUUUUAUUCUCUAAUAAGUCGGUACUCAUUUUCACAUAUGAUUUCGAGACAUGGCCCCCAUUAUGAUAUCUAUAGGUGUGAAUUGCUCAUUUUAAGGCAAGAUUCGCAAGGAACAUGUAUAGUUAUCUACCAACGGUGUUAAAUACCCAAACUAGCCAUUAAAUUUUGUUGUUUUAUGCUUAUAAAAUUUCUGAAAUUUGCAUAAGUUUCUUAUUAAAUUCAGACAUUUUAUGUGGAACUUUUUCAUCCUAAUAACACUUAAAUCAGAAGCUCUAAAUGAAAACAUGAAAAAAUGUUAUAUAUAUUCAUUUCCUAUCCAACAAGCACCUAGUAGGACUACGAAACAUAAAAGAUUAUAACACAAGAUUCUUUCAAAGAAGCGGAAUGCAAUUAAAACCACAGAAGAGCCAAUUUCUCUAUAUCAUUGGACCAUGACAAGAACAAAUAGGGAUCUACAAAUUAAAUAUCCAACAUGACCUCCAUAUGAAAUACAAAGUAGCAUUCCUCUUUUCAUCCCACUCAUAUCUCAUGCGUUAACAUGUCCAAAGCUAGCAAAGUCGAGUGUAUUAUCCUUCUGUCUAUUCCUACCCUUGCAUUACCAUUUUUCCAUUAGCUUAACAAAGUCACCAUCCACUUACAACCAACCCUACUUUCCCAGACAUCUAUUUGGCUAAGGAAACCCUUAACCUAAGUCUACAUCCAGACGAUCAUAUUUAUAUACAUCAAGAUAAUCAUAGAUCAACAUGAUCACAUUACAGUUCAUCUCCAACAAGUUGUUAUUCCUUCCACAUCAACACAUGGGCCCUACCUAGUUAUCAAACAUAGAAGGCGUGUGCCUAACCAAGAGGCUAUUCAUAUUGACUCUAUUGUAUGCAUCUCACGACUCACAUUUAUCCUUCAAUCCUUACACUAUGACAUUCCUAUUCCACGUGAAUGCUUCCCGUGAAAGGCUGUUAAUGCUCUAUUUAGAUAUAGGGUCCAUAUAAUCGAGCCGCAUUUACGUAGCCGCGGUCGGGGAUUGCCGAUUCACCCACCACAUAAAAUGAACUACCCGUAGUUCAGCCACCACGUGAUUUUCUCCACCACCCUCCAAACGUCUUGGAGUGGGCUAACCGAGAAUUGGAUUUUUAGUUCAAACCGAACCAAACCUAAGUAUACCCUUGAGAAGCUUAGACAAUUAUUAGACUUAGACUCACCCACUCCAUCUACUUGCUUAAGCAAAUGGAGAAGAUUAACGCCCAUCUCUAAUACAGAACAAAAGGCAACCACAAAGAAGAAUAAAGAAGUCCAAGAGGCAUGGUUUCAAAAGAUAAAAUAAAAAUAAAUCCAAGGGUUGGCAACGUACACGAUACACCUAUACACUUUGAAGGGGUGAUCCGCAAAACGGCCACGGAAAAAAAGGCCACCCUGCUCGUCCCCACCAUCGCCGGUCCACGACACGCACGCACAGAGCACCACACCACCACACCACCGCCACGGCGCCUGCCCCUGUGACCCCUGUCCUACUCCUCUGCCCACCCGGCUCGGCUGCUUCCUCAAUCCUCCCCCUCCCCCUCCCCCUCCCCCUCCCCCACUCCCCUCUGCGUUUUCAAAAAUCAAACCCCAGCCGGAACGGCGAAACCCCUUCCACCAUAGCCCAGAGGAGAGAGAGUGUGUGUGAGAGACGGAGCAGCAGUUGCGGUUUCCCUCUCCGUCGCUCUCGCCGCCCGCCGCCGGCUCCGUGCCCGGAGCGCAAGGCGGGCCCGGCGGCAAGGUCCUCCGCUCCGUCCCCUUCACUCCCGACCGGCGUCCCCGCUUCGUUGGUUCGCCAAUCUACUUCGUCCGCCCACCCCUUUUUCCCCCGAUCGAUCUCUCGUUCUUGCUAAGCAAACCAUCUUAACCCCUCUCCCUCGUGCGAGAUUAGCCAGGAGAAAGUUCCCCGCUUUUCCACCAGGCAUGCUUCCACCGCCUUGCUUUGCUGCUUGACUGCUUGCUGCUGUUGUGCGGAGUGUUAAAGAAGGCGGCGCCGGAGUCAAGAUUCCUUCUUCGCCCUUCUUGUUGCCGUUGUUAGUGGUUUUGUUUGUGAUUGCGGCUGCCCUGGAGUCGCGGUGUGUGUGAAGCGAGGGAUCCGAGAUUCUUGUGGAUUCUGUUCUCCUUUUUCCAUCGCUGCCGAUUCUCUCCCGUGCGACAGCACAAGCGGCGGCGGCGUGGGGAGAGCAGCCGCCGUGCCCGGCCUUGGAGGGGCCCAGUCCGUCUAUGGAACUUGCUGCCUCGGUGCCACGCCCCGGCCCGGAACCGAAGUGCUCAGCAAGGCGCUGCUUGCCUGCCCCUCUCACGCUGCUGGUGUCCAUUGUGGCAGUCUCCUGUUUGAUUCCUGCUCCUCGCUGAUCGAUUUCUGGACUGCGAUGAUGGUGCCGCGAACGGUGCUGCUCCUUUGCUGCUGCCUCCUGGCGUUCUUGCCACUUGGUACUGACAUUUUCCUUUUGUAAUACAUAUUCAGUUCAGUGAUUUAGUGUUGUCAGUGUUCAAUUGGCGGCAAUUGCGAUAGAUGUUGUUACUAUUCCUGGUGUUCCCGCCACCUGGUACUGACAUUUUCCUUUAUGAUACAUAUUCAGCUCAGUGUUUAGCGUUGUUGUGUUCAAAUGGCGGCAAUUGCAAUAGAUGUUACUAUGUAACGAAAGUGCCUAUUUUUGUUAUACUGAAAUUUGAUUGGUGGUGUUUGUUGUUACUAGGUCCGCUAGCCGUUGAAGCUUUUGUAGGGGGUUAUGGGAUAAACUACGGGAGAAUAGCAAACAACAUCCCUUCCCCUGAUAAAGUGGUGGAGCUCCUGAGGAGAGCAAAGAUAAGGAAUGUUAAGAUAUAUGACGCCGACCACAGCGUUCUCGAUGCGUUCAAAGGGUCUGGGAUCAACCUGGUCAUUGCAAUCCCCAAUGAGCUUGUCAAGGAUAUGGCUGCAAACACAAGUCGUUCGAUGGACUGGCUAAAUCAAAAUGUGCAGCCUUAUCUCCCUCAGACUCGCAUCGUUGGGAUCACUGUGGGAAAUGAGGUGCUGGGAGGCCAGGAUCAAAGCUUGUAUCAGCCACUUGUUGAUGCUGUGAAGAACGUGUAUGAUGGACUCAAGAGGCUCCACUUGGAGAGUAAAAUUGAGCUUUUCACACCUCAUUCGGAAGCUGUUUUUGCUACUUCUUAUCCACCCUCCGCAUGUGUGUUCAAGGAAGAACUCAUGGCAUACAUGAAACCUCUCCUCGACUUCUUUGCAAUGAUUGGCUCACCUUUUUAUGUGAACGCAUACCCCUUUUUGGCUUACAUAAGCGAUCCAGAACAUAUCGAUAUCAAUUAUGCUCUCUUUAAACCCAACAAGGGAAUAGUUGACCCGAAUACUAGCCUGCACUAUGACAACAUGUUUGAUGCUCAGAUAGAUGCAGCUUAUGCUGCUCUACAUGCUGCUGGUUAUGAUGACAUGGAGGUUCGGGUGGCAGAGACUGGCUGGGCUUCUAGUGGGGAUCAAAAUGAAGCAGGAGCUUCAUCUGAGAAUGCAAGGACAUAUAAUUUCAAUCUUCGUAAACGGCUAUUUCUGAGGACGGGAACUCCUCUGAAGCCAAAGAGACCAGUCAAAGCAUAUAUAUUUGCCUUGUUUAAUGAGAAUCAGAAACCUGGAGCUGGCUCUGAGAGGCAUUAUGGGCUGUUCCUUCCUGAUGGAAGGAUUUCAUAUGACAUUGGUGUCUCAGGUCUACUACCUUCUUCUGCAUCCUCAUCCAUGCUGUUCAUUAAGGUAAGCAAUGGAUUCUUGCCCUUUUAGGUUAUGCUACUGAUUCUGUAAUGUAUUUAUUGUUGAUUCUCAUUAGAUGACUGUUGACUUGGAUUGAAAUGUAAAUGAGUCUGCCCGAUUGUUGAACCAUAUUUUGAUACCGGGAAUUUGGGAUGGUGGUGUUAAGAUGGUAGUUAAUGAACAACAUAUAGUUUCCGGUAUCUAUAAUAUUAUUGCUACUGUGGAAGCAACAUGUUGCUGCCACUAGUAUGCUGGGUCUGUUAUAUGAAAAAUUGUAUGUUGAGGACAGCAUGUCCUAGGUUUUAGACCAUAAAUUUGAUUUUUGAUGUUGUGCAAACAUGUUCGGUAUUGGAAUAUUAGAAAAUUGUACAAGAGAGAAGGUUUUGGUAAAGACUGAGGGACAUGAAGCUUAAUUGGUAUCCAUGUUUGGACAUUAGUGUGGUUCCUGAAAUCCCAGUUCUUGUAUAAUUUGGACAUGUGCAUACCCACCCUUAUUUCCAUUGUUUUAAUAAAACAAAAAUGACAUGAAGUGAACAAUUAGCGUUCAUACUCAAUAAAACAUAAUGAUCAGAAAUAGCUUUUAUAACCUCUGCAGUUAACCCUAUUAUUCUCUUUUUAUAAAAGUAUAGCAAGUCCCCAGUCUUUCCCAUCAAGUAACUCAAUAAUUAAGACACUGGGAUUGAAACUUAGUACAAAAAACUGUAGGUAUCUCAUUUCUGGCCUCUUGUGCUUUUUUUUUUUUUUGGAACGACCAGUCUCAUGCACUUUAUUGUGACACAACAAUUGUCUGUGGUGUGUGGUCUCCAUUGAAGUCGUGCUUAGUUUGGGUCAUUAUUUAAUAAAUAUGAUCCCAGCUGAUGUAAUUUUCCUAGUUUUGUAAUCAUUUUAUAUUUCCUAAAUUCCAGUGAUGUAUAUCAUGUGUACAUUUGAUUCUGAUGCCACAGAAUGCUAAUAGUCAAAGGUAAUCUGACUUGAGCAUGUUAUUUCUAUUUGCAGAAGGUUCGAGCUGGGGGUUGGAUUUUACACUAUUGGGCUACAGUUCUUUUAUGUAUUUUCAUUCUUUUGGGGCCAUAGUGACUUGAGGACGGCAUAACACAUCCGUAGUAAAGGUACAACUGAGCAAGUUAGAAUGUUGGGAACGGGAAGCUCACAAUGAAAAUCCAAAUAAUAGUAUCAUGCAUAUGAGUUCCGUUUCUUGCAAUAAUCUCUUCUCUAGAUGCUGUCCUGCUUUGCUGCUUAAAACCAUAUUUUUUUUUUCUAAAAAAUGAUUCAUACCUGCUGAAAACCAUGCUCAGUUUAUCUAUUUCACUCUGUGUUUUUUCUUUUUCUAAAUGAACCCUCACCCAGCAUUCACUAUACAUAUUUUAUUUUAGCAAGUCAAAAUGCUAUAUCAAACUAAUAACCAUGUGAAAGACAGUUCUCUAUCAUAGCAACUUCUAGCCUCAUAGCAAUUUGUUUUCCAUUUCUAACAAUCAGGUUAUAGCUCGAGCUUGGAUACCUUAAAUGUUUAUUAUUUUUCAUUUGGGAUGAUGUGCAUCAAGCAGACAGCCUGACAAACCAUUGUUCGUUUUUGGCUCUGUUUGGAAUGCUGGAAUUUCCCUGUCCCUGCGUUUUUCUUGUGAAAACGAACUGAUUCCUAUGAAAUUCCUGUGCAAUUCCGGCGUUCCAAACAGGCACUAAGUAUCGCAUCUUGACAUAUCAGUUACCAGUAGACACUCAAAGCAGAUGGUGACUGAAAGAAUAGCAUUUGGUUUUGUGGAUGGUUUGGAGCCUUGAUGGUUUGCAUGCACACCUAUCCUGUGAUCUGUUCAAAGGUAUUAAAAAGCAACAGGUGCAGAACCUCAGAGAAUAUACAUAUAGAUAUCAAAAGGCAUCGAAGGAUAGAUAUGUAAUGUUGUUGCCUGGUUUGCCGAGUGGUUCUAUAGAUUGAUCAAAGCUCCAGCAUAUUGUUAAAGUUCGCUGAGUGGUCCCAUCCAUUGCUUAAUGAUACUAUUCUUUAAUGAUCAUAUGGUACUUUAUGUUACCAAGUCUGUAAAAACUGCGGGGAUAGUCUCCCCCCACCGGCUGAGUUUCUCUCUGUAAAGAAUGGAGUUAAUGCAAAACAUGUAUGGUUAUUGUUUUAAGGGUGUUUGGUUUGAGCAAUCACCCAAUCCUAACCCCGAGGAACUCGCAUGAUGAGUUUGUUCCGUGAUUUUAAUGGAAUGACUUAAUUCCUCAUGUGUGUAUUAAUUAUUAGCUUGUGAGCAAUAAGGUGGUUGGAGAUCAACCUAUUUUAUUUCACAAAUCAAGCAAAAAAUGAGGAGCGAGAGGACCAUGUAUCACUAUUUCUUGUACGAAACACACCCAUCAUGCCAUAUUGCCAUGUCCUUUGUUCACAUGAUGGGCAUUGGUUACCACUGAAGUAAUCAUAUCUUAACCAUAUCCUCAUAAAUUUCUUUCUUAACCCGGUCUAGUGAUAUAGUGGUCACUCACACUCCUUUCAUUCCCUCCCGUCCUUUGUUUCUCGAAUCUUUUGAUCUUUUGUGUAAAGAAGAGUAUAUCAAGAGAAAAGGUAAAACUUUUUUGCAUAUCCUCCUAUCGUCUUUAUAGCCCCUGCUUUAGACAACAAUUAUUUUCUUUGUUCCAUGCAAUAUCUAAUGCUUUAUAUUGCUCGUGAGUCGUGAGGUAUACUUUGGUACAUGCUCAGUCAGUGAGCACCUGAGCAUAGGAUGCUAUAUAUGCUACUGUAUUGACAUCUGACAUGUGACUAAAGAUUAGCAACAGAUUAUUUUAGCCAGGGAUUCUCUACCCUUGUACUGGCCAUCGACAUGAUAUGCCUCGUAAUUCCAAAAAAAAAAAUGAUAUGCCUCGGAGUUUAGACGUGCAGUGUUCACUGAAAUUUACAGCCCGGUGAAAUUUACAAUCAUUGCUUUGCGUUGGCAAAGGUCAAUUGCCACAGAAGUAUCAAGUGCCACAAGUGUCUAAAGAAGCAAUAAAAUGAUCAAAUGAAAUACAGACCAAAAAGGACGCAGGUAAGUGAUCCUCAAGCACCCGGUUUUUUGUUCUUAAGUGCAUCUCCAGUCGUUUGACAAAAUUAGUUUUCCAAAUCUUAUUGUUUGCCAACUCCCAAAACAAUAUGGAGAGGAAAAAAUUCUCAUCUCCAACAGUUUGACAAAUUCCGUUUCUAAUAACCCAAAAACCCGCAAACGAAACGAAGAGCCCCGCUAAGCGAACGAAGAGUCCCGCUAAACGAACGAAGAGCCCCGCUCAGCAUGAGGAGAAAGACAGAUGCCAAGUACGGAGCCCGUGCGUAUAUUGACGCGCUAGACAGGGAGAUAUGCUAAGUUAGAAAAGAUGAGGAAUUGAGAUGCCAAACUGUUAGAGAGUGUUUUUUCUCAUUUUACAAAAAAAAAAAUUAUAGAUGAGAAGUCAUUUGCCAAACCGUUGGAGAUGCUAGUACAUCCUCCAUUCAAAUAAAUGUCGUUUAUAUCGGUUUUCAGCAGAUAUGGUUUCUUAUCUAAGGGUAUUUUUGGUUUUAGGAUGGGUUAGGUCUAUCCUAAUUUCCUAUGAUGGAAUGGUUCCAUCUUUAUGUUUGGUGGAGAAGAUGGGGGACUCCUUGCUCUAUGUUUGGCUUGAGAGCAGCACCCCACUGGCUCGGCUUGGGGGUGUUGCCCUCAAGCCAAGAGCCCACGUCGCUGUCUUAGCCUAUGGUCACUCCCCUAGUGUGUCGUGAAUGAUGAAGGAAGACUGGACAAAAUAAAAAAAGAAUGAAAGAUAUUGAGACAAAGGCAUUUUUUACUUAAUGUAUAGUUUAAUAGUCUAUAUUUAUAAUAAAACAUAUGAUAAAAAAAUAAUGUUGUAUACUUUAAUUGAUAUCUUCUAUACAAUAAAAUCACACGAAACAUAAUGAGUAUAAAAUAGUUUGAUUUAUGCAAACUUAUUUGCCAUUUUUUCUAAACUAGCAAAAUGCCCGUGCAUUACAAUGGGAAAAAAAGCUAUUAAAUCUAUAUCUAUAUCUCUAUUACCUAAUUUUAUAUAUAUAUAUAUAUAUAUAUAUAUAUAUAUAUAAUAACAAAGAGGCAAAAUUUCAGCCUUUUUUUGUCCAUCUAUUUUUUGUUCAGCUCCCUCUAACUACCAGACAAUACAGAGUUUUUUUUGUCCAGACUUAUAUAAUUCGUGCUUAUACGAGUUAAAAUAGCUCUUGUCUAACAUGAUAUGGAGUUUGAUUCCAGUUUUAUAUAGGUCUAUAUAUGGUAACCUUGAUAGUUAGGAGUCCUAAUCCUAAUAUAAAUGGAUUACGUCAAUCUUUUGAUUAAGCUAAAUAGAAAUUCUAAUUCAUGAUAUGGUGUUCGAUUUCAUUUUUAUAUAGGUCUUAUAUUAUAUAUGGUAGCUUUGAUAGCUAGGAAGAGUCCUAAUCCUAAUAUUUUGAGUAAACUAAAUAGGAAUUCUAAUUUAAGAGGUUCCAUACCUAUAUUUAGUCUUCUCCAGCAACGAGACCUAAAAGAAAACACUCUCUGCAAAUGGGUCUCGAGGAGAGAGAAUACCCAAAUUUGGGUUAUGCCUCUCAUGAUACCUAAAAUGGGUUUUCUGUGUGGGUACUCUGUUGGAGGCUAUAGGUAUUGUGUUGGAGACCCAUUUUGGAUUUUGGUUUCAAAUGGGUCUCCUAUUGGAGACAGCCUUAGACAAGUUAGAAUAGCUUUUGUCUAGCGUGAUAUAGAGUUUGGUUCCAAAACUUAUUAGGUCUGAACCGAAACUCUAGGUUCCUAAUCUAUAUUUAUAUCUAUAUCUAUUCUUUCUCCAAUAUAUAAUUGUCAAAAUUUUUAGUUUACCAGAAAAUUCUGUCCGCCAACUCUUUGUUGCUAGGUUCGAUUCGAACUACGUUUGGACUCGUUCUAGAUGGAAUUGGUUUGCUAUUGAGUUUGGUUAUAACUAGAUUUAACCAGAUAAUGUAGUAGUCCGAGACAGGACAGAUAAAAAAUAAUAGAAAAAAAGAUAAACAAAUAGAAUAGAAAAAUUUAUAUCUUUUUUAUUUGGAUUACUUAAAUAAUCUAUUUGUAUUAGGAUUAGGAUUAGGAUUUCUAGCUAUCAAGAUUACCCUAUAUAGUAUCAAUAUAAAUAUGAAAUCAAACUCUUGAAUUAGAAUUUAUAUUUAGCUUACUCAAAAGAUUAAAAUAAUCUAUUUAUAUUAAGAUUAGGAUUUUUCCUAGCUAUCAAGGUUACCAUAUAUAGGACCUAUAUAAAACUGGAAAGUUAUUUUAACUCGCGUAAGCACGGGUUAUAUAUAAUUUUGGACGAAAGAAACUUUACAUUGUCCGGUAGUUAGAGGGAGACAAACAAAAAAAUAAAUGGAUAAAAAAUAGCCUAAAAUUUUGCCUCUUUGUUAUUAUAUAUAAUUAUGUAAUAGAAAUAUAGAUAUAGAUUUGAUAACUUUUUUCUCCCGUUGCAACGCACGGGCAUUUUUGCUAGUAGAAAUUCUAAUUCAUGAUAUGGUGUUCGAUUUCAUUUUUAUAUAGGUCUUAUAUUAUAUAUGGUAGCUUUGAUAGCUAGGAAGAGUCCUAAUCCUAAUAUUAAUAGAUUACUUUAAUCUUUUGAGUAAACUAAAUAGGAAUUCUAAUUUAAGAGUUUGAUUCUUGAUUUAUAUUAACACUAUAUAGGGUAACCUUGAUAGCUAGGAAUCCUAAUCCUAAUCCUAAUCCUAAUAUAAAUAGAUUACUCAUCUUUAAGUAAUCCAAAUAAAUUUUCUAUUUUUUCAUCCGUUACAAAGCAUAUAAAUAUUUAGAUAUAAUUAUAUUGUAGCUUUAUUUUUUCAUACUAUCCACGUGUUUGUACAAGUCAAUAUCGACCUUUGUAGCUUUUUCGAUGCAUCAUAUCAACCUCCGUAACUUUUUAUUGAUGUGACAAGGACCUUAUAUAUGGUAACAUUGAUAGCUAGGAAGAGUUCUAAUCCUAAUAUAAAUAGAUUACUUUAAUCUUUUGAGUAAACUAAAUAGAAAUUCUAAUUUAAGAGUUUGAUUCUAGAUUUAUAUUGACACUAUAUAGGGUAACCUUGAUAGCUAGGAAUCCUAAUCCUAAUCAUAAUAUAAAUAGAUUACUCAUCUUUAAGUAAAAAAGAUAUAAAAUUUUCUAUUUUUUUCGUCCGUUACAAAGCAUAUAAAUAUUUAGAUAUAAAUAUAUCAUAACUUUAUUUUUUUCAUACUAUCCACGUGUUUGUACGAGUCAAUAUCGACCUUUGUAGCUUUUUUGAUGUAUCAUACAACCUCCGUAACUUUUUAUUGAUGUGUCAAGGACCUUUUUCGAUUUUCGACAGCUGAAUUACAUAAAUACAUUUGUUUAGACUUAAUUAGACACUAAUCUGUCUAAGAUUCCAGUUCACAGAAUAAUUAGUUCGACCAUUGACUAAUCCAUAUUUUAAUAAAAAUAAGUUUUGUUUCUAAUCAAAACUACAUCAUAUUUUUUUAGAAAAAAAACUACAUGGUGUAAAUCUUUGUUUUAGUCAAUAGGUUUAAAGGCCCAUAAUGUUGUAUCUACUAUUAGUUCUUCACGUUUAUUUAUUUUUUUGAAACCGCUAGAGUGAGUUAUAACAGGUGGAAGAAGAUAGAUAAAAACCCAGCGAAGCAAACAACGAGCCAGAAAACAAAAUUCACAAGCACAAAAACUCAAAACAAAAAAAUAUCAAAAACCAAACAAGAAACAAGAUCAGAUCAGUCCACCCAGGUAUUAUCUUUUAAGCCUUGAAUUCUUGCAAGGAAGAACGAUCCAGAGCCUUCAUGGCCUCGUCUGGUGGUUCCAAGCCGGCGCUGUAGUGUGGGUUCUACCUCCAAAAUACAAAAAUAAUCCAGCACCGGCUGUAAUCGCUUUUCUAUCUCUGAAGUUGUCGCCCUCCACUCCCAUCACCGCUCUUCCCUCUGAAGUUGUAGCUCGAGCUCCUCAGUCCUCACCACAGCCUCCCCAUCUGCUUCCACCGUCGUCCUUGCGCUCUUGGUGAGCAUGGUAGAAGACUCUUCUUGGAUCUCGCAAGCGCGUCUUCCCUGCGCUCCCGGUGGUCGUCGCCGAUGCCCUGCAAGCAGCUCGGAGCCCUCAGCCCUGCCCACCGGAGGCCGUCAACACUGGCAGCGACAGCGACAUCGGCUGUGGAAAAAUCAUUUUUUUAUUUCCUAAGAUGGCCUCGAUCCAGUGCUUUUGUUCAUUGAUCUACUCCUCUAGUCCUUUCGUGCCUGGAUCUAUUUGGUUCUAUAUACUUUUGCGCCUCGGUCUAGUCUUUGAUAAGGACUCCAAUAAUUUGAAAAUUGCAUGAUUCAUAUUUGUAUUUAUUAGUUUAUUGGCUAUUCGAUUACAUCUGAUUCGGUGUAUGAGUUGUAUCUGGACUUGCCUCCACUUACUAUUGCAGCAACACGGAGGGAGGAAGAUGAAAGAAAUUGAAUAGAAUAAGAAACAACCGAAACUAAUUUGACAUGGACACAUGAUAAAGGAAUAUAGAUUAGGCUGGACGAAACUAAAAGAAACAGUAAAAAUUUUAAGGUAUAGAUUUUUUUCUUUGAUUUUUGAUAGAGUUUGAUUUGGAGAAGUCUAAUUGAGAGGAUUCUUUUCUUUUUUUUUUUGUCUCGCAUCCAUCUCUCCAUCCUUAUAAGUAGCUAGACCAAAAAACUCUAACAAAAAACGGCUAAAAUUUUGCCUCUGCGUGCCAUGGCUAGGUGGCAUCUUGUUUGCCAUGAAAACGGUACGGCUAUUUUUCGGAAACCGAAUUUGUUUUGACCAUGUUUUGGUUGCAGUGGAACCAAUCCAAAGGGAUUGAGCCAAGGGCUAGUGUGCAGCGAGACCGGCCAUGUAUGGCCAUCGCGAGUCCUCCUAUCCGUUGGCAUGCAAGAUCUCGUGCUGAUGCUGUCGUGAGGACGUAGCGUCGCAGCGGUCGCACUCGCCUCCACAGAGAUCCGUUCCACGAGUCGUGAGUAGUGGUUUGAUUCCUGACGUGGUGCAGCUGUAUUUUCUAUAUAAGGGUGUGGCCGUACAGUGAAAUAGAACUAUUGUACGGAUUUCGUAGGGUAACUAAACACGUAUUUUAUGAAGGAACCGGAAUAAAUCUAGCCCAGGAUUGAUCCACAACCGAACGAGGCCUUAGAGGGGUUCAGAUCUGUCCGUAUCUGAGUUCAAAUAUUCAACAUCCGAUACCGUAUCUUUAUCUGAAUACUUAGAUAGUAUAUUUAUGAUGUCGACAUCCAAUUGUAUCUUAUUUGACAUAAUUAACAUUAUCCGUAUUUGAAUCCGAAUCUGACCAGAAAUAUGAAAACAAAUGUGAUACCGGUGAUUUCCGUCCGUAUCUAUCCAUUUUCUCAACUGACUCAACCAAAGCCCGAUACUCUUAGAAAUUGCCUUUGUGCUUAGCGGGAGACCCAGGUAUUUGAUCGAGAAGUUCUGCACAGUCGAGAAUGGAUAUGAAAUCUAGCAGUGCUUCCUCGCCUCAAAGAUAUGUAGGUGUCACCGAACACUUAGCUAGGUUUGUGUGCAGUCCAGAUGAUUGACCGAAGAUGCUCAGGUUUUCCUUAACUGCAGUUGCCUCCUGGGCCGUUGGUCGAUGGAGAGUGUUGGGGGAUGUACUAUUCCUCCGAUCGCUGAGCUGUCUGAUUCUGGAACGCUGCCUUGCCUCCACUGCACUGAGUUGCCGGUGUUCCUAGGCGACGUCCAAGCGUAGCACCAGUUCUUGUGCCACGAGGAGUUGGGCUUUAAUGUCGCCAAUUCUCGCCGCAGACCAGCUUUGGACAAGGUGGCGUAGCAUCAAGUCCAGCCUCACAAGGGGAUCCAUUUGCAACACCCGGCGAGCCCAUGCCCAUCCUUGCUGGACUGAGUCAUCGUAGUCGUCGAAGCUGGGCCAAGACAACUCGAAGUGGAAUCUUGCGAUCCGAGGCAUCAGAACCUAGACCGGGGAACUGACGAGCACCCUGUCUAACCUGACGAGCGUAGGGUGUUCCCGUUUGUUGCUCCAAGUGAAGCAUCGGCCAUGUGCAGGUGAAGGUCUAGGAGUUCCAGAGUGCAUGGUCACCGUGCGCCUGAACCUCCCGAGGUUCAGCCAUGUUUAUACGCCCAUUGUUCUUGUCCGCCUCAUUCAAGAUUAGAUUGAAGUCGCUGUUAAUUGCUCAAGAUCCCUCGCAGGCGUCCCGGAUGGCCUCCAUUGCUGUCGUGUGGAAUGUGAUGUUGUAAAUAAAGCACUUUUUUUUUCCUUUUGCUUUCAAGAUGUGAUGAACUAAUACUAAAAGAUUUUUUUUAUUUUCGAACACUGGAAUGAUUCCUACAAAGAUAGAAAAUAAAUUUCAAAUGACAACCAAACAAUAAGAUGUGGAGUUAGAACUUAGAACUUCCAGUCUCGGAUAUCAGAUGAGAUCCAAUAAAUAUCAGGUCGUAAUAAAAGGUACGGUUGAAAAUUAGGUAGUGUAUCGUUUGAAGGUAAUAUUUUGAUGCAUUGAUCAUGGAAUGCUCAUGAUGAAUAGUGCAAUUUAGCAUCAGAUUUUUAUGAGCAGUUGUGUGGUCCUCAGUGUACUAAAUCGUUUGUCUUCAUGAACAUGACAUGAGGCAAAUAUUUAAUUAAGAGCGUCACUAUGUUUCAUGAAAAUGGUAUGCAUCCAUCUUACUAAUAGUGAACAUAAUCGGCCAAAUUAUUCAUGAGUUAUGCAAUUCAUAAUAUAAAAACUCUUUCACUUUUGAGCUCGAGCUCCUUAUAUAGAUCCAUAGAGUCUUGAGGGAUUUGUACAUGUCUCUUUCUUGUUUCAUACCUUUUGUGUCAGCACAUGUGAUGAAAUGGAACUUUGCAUCUAUUCAGCCACCUUGAACAAAAAUUCAUUCCGUCAAAAACCACCAAUGUAUGUCCAUGUGAGAGGGAGACUGUGAAUUGAUGUAUUAGAGGGAACUGAGAGUGGAUGUUAUUAUUUGUCCUCAUCGUCCAAAUCACAAAUAAUUUUUUUUCUCUUUGUUAGUUUCUUGAACGUAGACAUGCAUGUAAGCAUUUGAAUGCUUGGUAUAAGUCUUAAUAGGAGUAGUAUUGAGUCUAUAUUUGAACGUUUGGUAGACAUAAUAGUGUCCUCUAUGAACUCCACCACUAUGAACUCAGUAUACAUAUGCGUUGAAGAGAAGCUACAAAUAUUACUACAAAGAUCCACUGUUGGGAAAAAAACCUGAAAAACAAUAAGUGUGCAGUUAACUGGCUAUGUAAAAAUCUGAUUAUUGUCAUAAAAUAUUUAAGAAAUACCAUACUUUCACCGUGUCUACUCCAUCGUUAUAAUUUGCAAGUGGAAAACAUAAACAAUGGAAAACAUAAACAAUAUGCGGAGUAUAGAGCUUAUCUAAAAUAAGAUGAACACAACAUGAAUAUUGGAAAUAUGUAAAUUCUCGCAUAGUUUUUAUUAUUACGUAAGAUUUUUUUUUUGUUUUUUGAGUGACAAAAGAAAACAAUAUAUGCAAAUGGAGUGCUUAUGGAUCUAUUAUUUGUGAAGAGUAUAGGGGUUACACACUUCUAACUGUAUAUGGAGAAAGAUAUUUUCCAUCAUCUCUAUCAAAAUCCAUUUGAAGUACUUAAAUAAAUCCAUUAGAAUGCAAAGUGUCUAUUAGCCUCAUCUGCAGCAUGUUACACACUGUUGCCGUGGCCAUGCCCUUACAAGAUGCUUAUCAACACACCCUUCCCAUCAAGCACCCCAAGCACGAGCUCUAGAGUCUUUGGUGUCACCGUUGACGGCCUUCUACUCGAAUUCCUCAAGCAUGCGGUCCUUCACUGGUGCGUUAGCCCAAACAACGUCUACGUCCUCGACAGGUCAGGCCCACACGGUGACGUCGACGCCGAACACCUCCUUAUGCUUCCGUGGUGUCCUCAAUGCCGACACAUCCGUACGUGUUCUCCAAAGAGGCAGCACCCAUACUCUAUGAUGAACCAAUGGAACUCAUCGUCGCUCCGCGAAAUCCACUCGCUGAUGUGUACUACUGUGCAUGGUUUGUCUUCAGCGAAGCAAUGGGCGGCAGGUGUGGGUGCCGCUGGGCGUUGGGACGGUGGUGUGGAGCCGGGAAGGAUAUUGUCUCGCGUGAGCAGAGCGGGGAGGACCGGGUAGCUGUGAGAUCCAACAACAUCAUGUCUCGUGUCCUCCCGAUGUCCCGACCAUAGCAGCUAGGUUCCUGUUUCCAGAAGGGAACAAGAAUGGGAACUUAGGGUAUUAUUCUAUAACAUGAAAAUAGAAACAUUCAUAUUUCUAGAAUAUAGAUAUUUGGAAUGUGGAACAUGGAAACGGGAGCGUGGAUCAUGUUCUCAUACCUUGGAUGCAGAGCCACGAAGGACAAUGCCACCCCAUCUCGCUAACGCGAGUCAGGGCGUCCAAACAGUUGAACCAAAUAGCUAAAAUUGAAUGCAGACCCUCUUCAUCAUGUCUCCAUAUACCUUGGACAGAAGCCACAUGUCCCACAAAACCUAUCACACGGUUAUGUGAUGUACCGUCUCCAUCCCAAAUUAUAAGUCAUCCAAGAACUUUGAAGAGCUAAAUCAUUUUAAGUUUGACUAAAUUUAUAUGAUAGGAUAAUAACAUUUAUUUCAUCACAACUAAAGAGUAAAGAGUGUAUAAUUUUUGGUGCGACAAUCGUCGGAUCGCCCGUCUGCCUGCCCCUGUGACCUCGCGGCCUCCCCUCCCCUCCUCCCUCGCCCGUGUGAACGCUCCCUUCGGCAAACUCUGCCCCAUCCAUCGUGAAUCGAGCCGGCGCUGCUCUUCCCUAGGCCCCGACCCGUUCCCGCACGCGGCCGCCAGUGCUCCAUCCCCAAAGCGCUUCGCUCGCCGGUGCUCGUCUAAGGUAUAUUAAGAGGUAAUAUGAGAAUAAGAUAAAGUUUGCCUAAUUUCUAUUUUUAUUAUUAAAUAAAUAUGUCUCCAAGCUAUAUAUUAUUGUAAAUAUUAACUAUCUAAUACCAUAGAUGUCAUGGUUAUCAAUAAAAUAAAUUAUAGACUUUAAAUUUUCUAGAUGUCAUGGAUAUCAAUAAAAUAAAUUAUGGACUUUAAAUUUUAUAAAAAGGAUAAAUAUAAAUAGAUAUGUAACAUUAUGUUAUCACUUUCUAUGAUCAUUUGAUGUUUUUCUCCCGUUGCAACGCACGACAUAUUUGCUAGUAGAAUAAGAAACAGCCGAAACUAAUUUGACAUGGACACAUGAUAAAGGAAUAUAGAUUAGGCUGGACGAAACUAAAAGAAACGGUAAAAAUUUUAAGGUAUAGAUUUUGUCUUUGAUUUUUGAUAGAGUUUGAUUUGAAGAAGUCUAAUUUGAGAGAGGAUUUUUUUCUUCUUUUUUGUCUCGCGUCCAUCUCUCCAUCCUAAGUAGCCAGACAAAAAAAAACUCCAGACCAAAAAAGAGCUUAAAAUUUGCUUCUGCGUGCCAUGGCUGGGUGGCAUCUUGUUUGCGAUGAAAACGGUACGGAUAUUUUUCGACUGUAUUCGAGACCGAAUAUGCAUUGACCAUGUUUUGGUUGCAGUGGAACCAAUCCAAAGGGAUUGAGCCAAGGGUUAGUGUGCAGCAAGACCGACCAUGUAUGGCCAUCGCGAGUCCUCCUAUCCGCAGGCAUGCAAGAUCUCGUGCUGAUGGUGUCGUGAGGACGUAGCGUCGCAGCGGUCGCACUCGCCUCCGCAGGGAUCCGUUCCACGACUCUAGAGUAGUGGUUUGAUUCCUGACAUGGUGCAACUGUAUUUUCUAUGCAAGGGUGCGGCCGUACAGUGAAACAGAACCAUUGUACAGAUUUCGUAGGCUAACUAAACACGUAUUCGGAAUAAAUCUAGGCCAGGAUUGAUCCACAACCGAACGAGGCCUUAGAGGGGUUCAUAUCUGUCCGUAUCUGAGUUCGAAUAUUCAACAUCUGAUACAUAUCUGAAUACUUAGAUCGUAUAUUUAUGAUAUCGACAUCCAAUCGUAUCUUAUUCGACAUAAUUAACAUUACCGUAUUCGAAUCCGAAUCCGACCAGAAAUAUGAAAACAAAUAUGAUACCAGUGAUUUCCGUUCGUAUUCAAUCCAUUUUCAUCCCUAUUUGCGACUGACUCAACCAAAGCCUGAUCUUAGAAAUUGCCUUUGUGCUUAGCGGGAGACCCAGGUACGAUCGAGAAGUUCUGCACCUUGCAGUCGAGAAUGGAUAUGAAAUCUAGCAGUGCUUCCUCGCCUCAAAGAUAUAUAGGUGUCACCGAACACUUAGCUAGGUUUGUGUGCAGUCCAGAUGAUUGACCGAAGAUGCUCAGGUUUUUCUUUACUGCAGUUGCCUCCUGGGUAGUUGGUCGAUGGAGAGUGUUGGGGGAUCCUCCGAUCGCUGAGCUGUCUGAUUCUGGAACGCUGCCUUGCCUCCACUGCACUGAGUUGCCGGUGUUCCUGGGCGACGUCCAAGCGUAGCACCAGUUCUUGUGCCACGAGGAGUUGGGCUUUAAUGUCGCCAAUUCUCGCAGCAGACCAGCUUUGGACAAGGUGGCGUAGCAUGAAGUCCAGCCGCAUAAGGGGAUCCAUUUGCAACACCCGGCGAGCCCAUCCUUGCUGGACUGAGUCAUCGUAGUCGUCGAAGCUAGGCCAAGACAACUCGAAGUGGAAUCUUGUGAUCCGAGGCAUCAGAACCUAGACCGGGGAACUGACGAGCACCCUGUCUAAGCUGACGAGCGUAGGGUGUUCCCAUUUGUUGCUCCAAGUGAAGCAUCGGCCGUGUGCAGGUGAAGGUCUUGGAGUUCCAGAGUGCAUGGUCACCGUGCGCCUGAACCUCCUGAGGUUCAGCCCUGUUUAUACGUACACCCAUUGUUCUUGUCCGCCUCAUUCAAGAUUAGAUUGAAGUCGCCGUUAAUUGCCCAAGAUCCCUCGCAGGCGUCCCGGAUGGCCUCCAUUGCUGUCGUGUGGAAUGUGAUGUUGUAAAUAAAGCACUUUUUUCCUUUUGCUUUCAAGAUGUGAUGAACUAAUAACUAAAAGAUUUUUUUAUUUUUGAACACUGGUAUGAUUCCUACAAAGAUAGAAAAUAAAUUUCAAAUGACAACCAAACAAUAAGAUGUGGACUUAGAACUUAGAACUUCCGGUCUCGGAUAUCAGAUGAGAUCCAACAAAUAUCAGGUCGUAAUAAAAGGUACGGUGUAAAAUUAGGUAGAGUGUAUCGUUUGAAGGUAAUAUUUUGAUGCAUUGAUCAUGAAAUGCUCAUGAUGAAUAGUGCAAUUUAGCAUCAGAUUUUUCAUGAGCAGUUGUGUGGUCCUCAGUGUACUAAAUCGUUUGUCUUCAUGAACAUGACAUGAGGCAAAUAUUUAAUUAAGAGCAUCACUAUGUUUCAUGAAAAUGGUAUGCAUCCACCUUACUAAUAGUGAACCUAAUCGGCCAAAUUAUUCAUGAGUUAUGCAAUUCAUAAUGUAAAAACUCUAUUUCACUUUUGGGCUCGAGCUCCUUAUAUAGAUCCAUAGAGUCUCCAGGGAUUUGUACAUGUCUCUUUCUUGUUUCAUACCUUUUGUGUCAGCACAUGUGACGAAAUGGAACUUUGCAUCUAUUCAGCCACCUUGAACAAAAAUUCAUUCCGUCAAAAACCACCAAUGUAUGUUCAUGUGAGAGGGAGACUGUGAAUUGAUGUAUUAGAGGGAACUGAGAGUGGAUGUUAUUAUUUGUCUUCAUCGUCCAAAUCACAAAUAAUUUUUUCUCUUUGUUAGUUUCUUGAACGUAGACAUGCAUGUAAGCAUUUGAAUGCUUGGUACAAGUCUUAAUAGGAGUAGUAUUGAGUCUAUAUUUGAAUGUUUGGUAGACAUAAUAGUGUCCUCUAUGAACUCCACCACUAUGAACUCAGUAUACGUAUGCGUUGAAGAGAAGCUACAAAUAUUACUACAAAGAUCCACUGUUGGGAAAAAAACCUGAAAAACAAUAAGUGUGCAGUUAACUGGCUAUGUAAAAAUCUGAUUAUUGUCAUAAAAUAUUUAAGAAAUACCAUACUUUCACCGUGUCUACUCCAUCGUUAUAAUUUGCAAGUGGAAAACAUAAACAAUAUGCGGAGUAUAGAGCUUAUCUAAAAUAAGAUGAACACAACAUGAAUAUUGGAAAUAUGUAAAUUCUCACAUAGUUUUUAUUAUUACGUAAGAUUUUUUUUUGUUUUUUGAGUGACAAAAGAAGACAAUAUAUGCAAAUGGAGUGCUUAUGGAUCUAUUAUUUGUGAAGAGUAUAGGGAUUACACACUUCUAACUUUAUAUGGAGAAAGAUAUUUUCCAUCAUCUCUAUCAAAAUCCAUUUGAAGUACGUAAAUAAAUUCACUGGAAUGCAAAGUGUCUAUUAGCCUCAUCUGCAGCAUGUUACACACUGUUGCCGUGGCCAUGCCCUUACAAGAUCCUCAUCAACACACCCUUUCCAUCAAGCACCCCAAGCACGAGCUCUAGAGUCUAUGGUGUCACCAUUGACGGCCUUCUACUCGAAUUCCUCAAGCAUGUGGUCCUUCACUGGUGCGUUGGCCCAAACAACAUCUACGUCCUCGACAGGUCAGGCCCACACGGUGACGUCGACGCCGAACACCUCCUUAUGCUUCCGUGGUGUCCUCAAUGCCGACACAUCCGUACGUGUUCUCCAAAGAGGCAGCGCCCAUACUCUACGAUGAACCAAUGGAACUCAUCGUCGCUCCGCGAAAUCCACUCGAUGAUGUGUACUACUGUGCAUGGUUUGUCUUCAGCGAAGCAAUGGGAGGCAGGUGUGGGUGCCGCUGGGCGGUGGGACGGUGGUGUGGAGCCGGGAAGGAUAUUGUCUCGCGUGAGCAGAGCGGGGAGGACCGAGUAGCUGUGAGAUCCAACAACAUCAUGUCUCAUGUCCUCCCCGAUGUCUCGACCAUAGCAGCUAGGAUCCUGUUUCCAGAAGGGAACGAGAAUGAGAACUUAGGGUAUUAUUCUAUAACAUGAAAACAGAAACAUUCAUAUUUCUGGAAUAUAGAUAUUUGGAAUGUUGAACAUGGAAUCGGGAGCGUGGAUCAUGUUCUCAUACCUUGGAUGCAGAGCCACGAAGGACGAUGCCACCCCAUCUCGCUAACGCGAGUCAGGGCGUCCAAACAGUUGAACCAAAUAGCUGAAAUUGAAUGCAGACCCUCUUCAUCAUGUCUCCAUGUACCUUGGACAGAAGCCACAUGUCCCACAAAACCUAUCACACGGUUAUGUGAUGUACCGUCUCCAUUCCAAAUUAUAAGUCAUCCAAGAACUUUGAAGAGAUAAAUCAUUUUAAGUUUGACUAAAUUUAUAUGAUAGGAUAAUAACAUUUAUUUCAUCACAACUAAAAAGAAUAAAGAGUGUAUAAUUUUUGGUGUGACAAUCGUCGGGUCGUCCUUCUGCCUGCACCUGUGACCCCGUGGCCUCCCCUCCCCUCCUCCCUCGCCCGUGUGAACGCUCCCUUCGGCAAACUCUGCCCAUCCAUCGUGAAUCGAGCCGGCGCUGCUCUGCCCUAGGCCCCGACCCGUUCUCGCACGCGGCCGCCAGUGCUCCAUCCCCAAAGCGCUUCGCUCGCCGGUGCUCAUGGUCACGCAUCAGACUCCGCCUGUCCGUCUACUCCGCCAUGACUGGCGCAAGGCCCCUCCCAUGUAGCACCCACCCCAGAUCGUGCUCGCGCUCACACUUGCUCGCUCGCAGAUCGGCCGGCCACCAUUGUGCGACGACGAAUCGGUGUGACAGCAACCGGCGAGCGUGCGACCAUCACUCUGGAAAGGUCGGAUCGGAGGCGCCGGACGCAGACAUGGAUCCUCAUCUAUCUCGAAAGGACACGGUUUGCAGACUGCGAGGCCCAGAGCAGCAAGUCGUCGGGGGGGGGCCUCCGUUGCGCGGUACGCCUAGCUGCGGUGGGCUGCCCUACUUGCCUUCCACGUGAGGACUGGGGCCAUCUGGCCCGGCGGCCGCCGCACUAGCCGCUCCCGGCAGUGGCCCAGGUUGUGCCGCAUCGCCCACACGCUAGCGCCCGAGUCAACGUUUCCAUGUUGAACACGGCCUCGCAGCCUCCUCGACGCUGUAGCCACCAUCCUGUGGCCUGCCCUCCGGGCCUAGCUUCUCCCUUGGAUACCUCCUCCCUGAACAUUCCGGCCACCACCUUCUCGUCGCUCUCGAUGCUGCUGCAGCCCGCCUCUUCAUUCACGUACUGGUAGGCAAGCUCAUGUCCUUCAUCAAUGGUCAUCAUUGUGAGCCAGUAUAUUGGGUCUGACCUUAUUUUUUUCUGAUUAGAGAGUGAACAGAUAAUUCAUGUUUCUUGAUUCUUUCGUCUCUUCGUGUAAUGUUAUUGCAGAAUCUACUGAUGUUGUAAAUACUGCAGUUAAUUGUAAUAGUUUGUUUCCAUUGUGUUUGAUAGUGCUUUGGCAGGCGUUCUGUACCUACUCACUUUGUUGGUGCUGCUUUGCUUAGAGGAGAGUGGCGACAUGUUGUUAGCUUGAUUCUUGGUACAGGGGUAGGUGAACUUUUUUCCCCUGUUAAAUAACUAAAUAAUUUAUGUUAAAUGUGUGAAUAUUUGAAACUUAAACUUCUAGCAGUUUCAUGACAUGCAGGUAUUUUAUAAAUGGCAUGGUCAUGUUGAUGCAGCACUUAGGGGCAUGCCCGGCAUGUUACAGUGGAGAGAACUAUUGUAGGUUUCCUUGAUCUUUUUGCAGACAUCGUACAUGUAACCGAAAUAAAUUCAUAUAUCUUGUCAUUUUACCGUAUGGUUUUGUUAUUGUGGGAUUUUAUUGGUCCUAGGCUCGUGCUACUCCGUAGUUUCCUACAGAGUCCACUUAUAUAAAAAAGAAAGAUGUAGGUGUUUCUCACCUGCCAAGAGCUUUCUUGACUACACAAUACAGUCUGUAUGUACUAUUCAGGUGUUUUGUGCAGUUCCAUUCAUGAAUUUAAAGUUAAGCGGUCUGGUUUUAGCUUUAGUUUCAAACUAGGAGGCUACGGUUCAUCAUAUUUGUAGCUAUAGCCUAUAUUAUGAGUGGAUGCUCUGAGUGAAAAAUAGUUCUCAAUUAGUUUUUGAGUCAAUGAAAUUGAGCUGCUCAGUUUGCUUGGGGAAAAGAAGAUAAUAGAGCAAUAAAAAUGAAAAAGUUAGAUAUUAUAACAAAAACUAUGGGAAAGAAUAGCCUAGAGGAAACAAAUAUAUUGCAUCAUGUGUUGUCAUGACUUCCUAGAUAUAAAACAUUAUUCAAAAGAACUUUAUCGUUGUGCAAGCAAGACAUGAGUUAUGGGUUAUACUUAUACAUGACAAACAUCUUAGAGUAGAAUGAAUGAAAGAAUUGUCCUCGAUUUUAUAGAUCUUCAAUAUGAAUAUUUUGACAUCCACUAGACCAUAGCAUGUACAGUGUGCCAAAUAGAAAAAAGGUGCUUUGACACACAUCAAAGCACAUUACCAGAAGUUUUAAGGGUGUUAGACCGCAAAACUAUGUCAAAACCAGCUUUGUUUUCAAUCACUGAUCAGAUCUUUUAGCCACAGUGACUUGAUCCCUGAGACCUAAUUUAGCACUGAAUGAUAUGUUCAGAAAAGUUGUCUUAUAGCUCUAAAGAACCUAAUUUAGCUCAAGCGAAAAGUAUUUUGCAGAACCAUCAGGAAUUCAGGAGUUCAACUAUACCACCAGAUUCUCCACUAUUUUGAUGGAAGUGAAUUCAAUUCAUCUUUGCUAUUUACCAUCCUAUUAAGAUAGUAAGCCAUAGUGAAAACAAAGCAGUAUUAUACAUUAUCACUUAGCUAGAGUAAAUACUAAACAGCGAGGUGGUGGAUCAAAGCUUAAGAUUUAGUUUGGUGCUUUCAAGGUUGGGCGAGAAUUUGUCGGAGCACACCGUGUUUGAAUUUAUUACUAAAAAGACAGUGAGUUGGCAAUUAUUGAUGUCAGUUGGAUCCUUGGGAACUACUAUCCUGAGUACUUCCCAUCAAUAUUUGGUUCAAAUACGACCCUGAUUGUGAAGCUACAAGUCAACAUAUAUUGUGCAUUAAGUUAAGUUACAAAACUAAAAUUGCACACACUUGAGCUUUGAGAUUGUCUGGGGGGCAACUGAGAUUGUCUGAGAAUGCCAUGAGAUUGUCUGGGGGGCAACUGCAGUAUAAGGCUUGGCAGCUCGAGAACCAGCAACCAUAUCUUACGAUGACACUACAAGUUUCAUCUGAUGAUAAUAUUUUUUGUACUUCCAUCCACCUAAAAGCAAAUUUCAAUUUGAUCUUAAAAACUCAGACAUACCAAAUACCACAUUAGCAAAAGAAUCAAAACACUCCUAGCUCAUUCAUUUGAUGGAUCCCAUGUUAAGACCAUCUUUUUCUUGCUGAGGAAAAAAGUUAUUUAUGCACCAACCUAACAUUUUGAUGGGGUAAGGUGACUUCUGCAUUUGGUGGUGAUCUUGUCCUAAAUAACAGUUUUGUGGAUACAGCUGUUCCUGUUCCAAAUAAAUUCUCAUUUCUUGUUUGGAGGACCUUUAGUUAAACAACAUACUAUCUAUAGGUUCAAGCCCUUUUUAAAUGGCUAUGAUAGUGAGCACCUAGACAUUAUUAGGCUUCGUUUCUCAGGGUAGUUGUAGAGGGAAAGUACGGAAAUCAUACAACUUAUAAUCUGCUACAGCUUUGUUAGACUUAGGUAUAUUGCUUCACUUUGAUUGGGAUUAGGGCAUCACUGAAUUGGAACUGUAGAGAGCAAUGGUCUGUACAUUGGAGAUAAUUUGUUCUAUUGAAUAAUCUGAUGGUGGUCAAAAGAAUGGCAAAAAAUUGUGACCUGGAACAAAGCUGCUUGAACUAUUUUUUUAACAUGUGCUCGCUGAGUUUACUUAGUUUGUUUUGCUUCUUUGAUUACAGAUAGUAAGAUGCAAAACUAAUGUUCAUAUUUUGUUUACAGUGGCCCAACUGACUCUGAAAAUCAAGCAUCUUUCAGCUUUCUACACAAGAAGGUAUGCAAAAUCUUUCUCUAAUGAUUUCUUUGUGCUGCUUUUCCACAGCAUCUUGGUAGUGAUGCUUUUGGAACCGUUUAUAUUUAUUCGUCAAGAAGUGAGUUGUAACACUCCAAUUUUAUUAUAUAUAUAUAUAUAUAUAUAUUCACUACUUUUAUCAAAUUUGUUUGUUCCUACCAAUUUUAGGUAUAGUCAGGGUGAGUGCAAAUUCGAUUAUGCAAAUACGAUUAUACCAGAGAACUAGAAUAAAGCAUUUACAAAGCAUGAAAAGUAGUGUAGUUCUAAUUUUUGAAUAUAUUAAAUUCCAUUUAUUAAAUGCUUAAAUUGAUUGGCACAUUGACAAUCAAAUUCAAUGGAAUCACUUUUUUGGACUAUACAAAAUUACAACAGUUCUUUUUUUUCCAAAGCUGCCCUACAAACCAAAUCAAAUACAUUGCUCUGUAUAGAACAGUGCCUUUUUUUUUUUCCAAAACUGCCGUACAAACCAAAUCAAAUACAUUACUCUGUAUAGCAUAUUGAGCUCUCUGCAUUGGGUACGCCCCCUUUGAUUUCCUGCUAGUAUCUUUUGGUUUCUAAUAAAACAUGAUAUGAACUAUGUGCAAUUUUGAUCUCCUGCCAGUAAGUCGUUGUUACUAAUGAUCUCAAUUACCAAUUAGGUCUGCAUGAAGGGAAGAGCAGACCAAUUGAAGGAUUCGUACAUAAAGACUCGUUUUUCUGGUGGCGCUAAUGAGUUGUAUGCCCGUAAUGGCAAGCUACGCACUAGACUUCCGAAAUCUCAAUUGUUUAGAACCAAUGAUCAGUGGUCAGAAUGAACUGUCUGUAAGCAUGUGCUUCAAAUUUUGAGAAAUGAAUAACGGAGAUUCCUUAUUGUCGAUAUACAUUAUCUUAGCCGUAUUACGGAAAUGUCUAUAUAGUGAGUUUGUGAACCUAUGACGCAAUGUUCUCUGUGAUUAUGUUAACUUCACGGAUUUUGCUUUUUAGAUUAAAUGUCACUUUAAUGUCAGUAUCUAACUUAAUAGUAUUGUUAUCUUAUCGUGCAAUCCAUGUGUUUUUAGCACAAAAGUUUACUAUGCACGGGUAUGCUACUUUGUAAUGUCAAUUAAGUACAACAAUACUCUCUCAAAAUCAUCAAACAUGCAAGAAGAGUCUCUGAAAAUAGAUGCCCACUAUUUUUCAAUCACAAGGAUCGCAGCAAUCCAUGGUUAUGUUGGAGUACACAGUUAAAUACCUGGCCGAUGAGUGUGCACUUGACGUCGAUGGCAGCGGCACGAUGAGGAAGAUCACAAUGAUUUUGGCGUCGAGUUGGCGGCUUCUUGCCGUUGGUUCUCCAAAGUAGCACGCAACUAUUUUUGGCCAAUACGGCUCGACUCUCCUGGAGGAGAUUGUAUGCGAGGUGUUCUGGGAAAUCAAGGAAGACAAGGACCUUUAAUAUAUAUAUAUAUAUAUAUAUAUAUAUAUAUAUAUAUAUAUAGGUAAGGUGUAGAGAGGAAAAGGAAGAAUUUUGAGUAGAAAAAUACCUCGAUAUUUUCUAAUUUGAAGUGUUUUUGUUUUUUAUUCCAAUUUUGAUUCAUUCAAACUUGCCAUAAAAAAUGAGGAAUUUUGGCGGAGCUGCAUCAGACAUGGAGGAAGAGAAUCCAAAGCUCAACUCGGAGCGACGUUUGGCGUGUGGGCACUGCAUCAGACAUUGAGGAAGGUAAGUCCAUGUCGAACUUGGAUUUGAGGUAGUUAUGCACCGCUCUCACCCAGCUCCGAGUCCAUCUCGACGUCUCUGCACCUUGUCGGCCUUGGCGUCUGCUUAGGUGCGGAUGACGGCGAUCACCCCGCUGGCCUUUUCGCGAUGGCGAGCGUGUACAUGUGGACAGCGGCGAGCGGACAGCGGUCCAGGCUGCGAGUGCGCAUGGGCAAACGGACGGCAGCGAGCGCGCUUGAGUGAGUGGAUGGCGAGCGCUUGGUGAGCGGACAGCGAGCGCUCGUGGCGUGGGCGAAGGACGAACGACCGCACUUCCAUGCGAGCAUUCGAGUUGUGGUUGCGGCUUGGCUAUGGAUUUUUUUAAUUACGGAGGAGGAACCACAUCCACAAAUCCUAAAGGGCCGUUCCGUGCGGGGACACGCCGUGCGGAGAGUCUACGCGAAUGGGCCAAAAUGAGUGCGAAUGUGCUUUUGUUCAGAAUGGGCUGGACGAAAAAACGGCCUAGAUAGAUGAAAAAAAGGCUAAAAUUUUACCUUUUAUUAUUAGAGGAAUACAGGUAUAUAUAUAUAUAGAUAAUAUUAUUUUAUUAAACAAUUACAAAUUUCUUAGGUGUCGUUUUUACAAAAUUUCAAAACUAGUGGUAGGCCGAGGACUGAAUUACCGAUAUCCUACGUGGUACUGGGCCGAUAGGCCUAUCGGCUAGUGGCAGAAGGCCGACUGCCAACCAACAUGCAAGCGGAACGUUUGGACCAAUUCAUUUUUAGGUCCUUUCUUGUCGAUCCCAAAAAAAUGAGUAUUUAAAUAUCUCAAAAACUAUUGUAAUUUUGAAAAUAGAUGCUGCAAAUCAAACACAACCUCUUUUACUUGGAUUUAGCAUCAUCGCUUUUUAUGAUUUUCAAAUUAAAAAUGCUUCCCAAUCGCCACAUGACCACAAGUAGGAUACGUUUCCAAUCUCCACAUGACCACAAGUACUGAACACGUUUGUCGGCGGUGCACGGGAGUGGCCGGAUUGACUGGCGGUAGUCCAUAUCGUCAUGGUCAGCUGGUAGUGGUUGAGGCUGCAGCCCUCUCGUUGCAACUCACACCAGUCGCGGAGAACCAAACUCUUGCAGCCUUUCUGUCCGGAAGGAGUCAUGACACCACCCCAGAUUGGAGAAUCAAGCCCUACGUCCAAAACUUCCUCAAUCUCACGAAGGGAAGAUCUUCAAGAGUGCUCAAGAUAGAUAGGGAACAGGAUGCUAAAGCCCACUCCUUAGCGUUGCAGGCAUAUAGGACAUCUGUUGUUGUUUGUUUGGCUGAUAAACCAUGGCAGAAAGUAUUGUUGGUUAAUUUGUUGUAAGAGAAAAAUAUUAUUGAAUGACUUACAUAUUAAGUUGAUAGUCUUAAAAUUGUACAAAUCCCAGAUACAACAGUAUUUGUCCUCUCUCGAGUGCUCUAGCUAAUCAGGCCCGUCUCAUAGAGGGGUGCAGGAGUGCGACGGCCGAGGGCCCAUAGCAUUGAGGGCACAUGAGUAUAUCCCUCUAUACUACAGGUAUUGAGGCUCAUACGCCUGGACGUGACCCAUUCUAUUUGUGAUAGUGACUUCCUUUGCGGGGACAACGUGCUUCGCGGCCUCGGGGGAAUCACCGAUUAGGCAAUCGCGGUUUGAGGGCGGCGAGUGCGGUGACCUCGUCGGUGUGUUGCAGCCCUUGCAGGUAGGUUAGCACUCCAGUACUCCACUCAAUAGGUUCUGGACUUCUAGUAUUGUGGUCCAACAUUCCUCCCUAUCUCCCUCGAAGGCUCAACUGAAGUGAAUCUUGCCUCUACCUGUCUUGUUUGUUGCAGUUGCUUUGUGUCUCCGAUCAAUUAUCUGUUUUCAGUUUAGUUCGACACUCCACGACUCCAUGACUCUGUGGCCAAUGGUAAGUGAUUGCAGCUGCAGAUUUGCAGUUCCAGUUUAGUUAUCAGUGUAGGGAUCUAAUUUUCUAAAUUCUAAUUUCAAUAUUUUUUGAUAUAUUAGAUACUUCAAGAUUCUCUUAUUAAUAGUACUGUAAUUUCAAUCAUCACAUUGAAACAUUAGGUCGCCAGUCUCUUCAUGUCUUGCUUGCACAAAGGCCCUAAAAAUUAUUGAGACGACACUAUAGCUAAUGUAAACAGCACCGACUGUACCUGAAACUUGCAGCUGUUUGCUACUAAUAAAGGAAUCUAUCCCCUUUGUAAAAAAAAGGCCUAUUUGGUUCACGCUCAUAAAUUUUACCGUACAUCAUAUUAAAUAUUUAGACAUAUGCAUGAGUGUAUUAGAUACUAUUUACGAAACUAAAAACAUAACUAAAGAAUAAUUUAGAAGACGAAUCUUUUAAGCCUAAUUAGUCCAUGAUCGGACACUAAUAGAAUAAAAUAAAAAUGCUAAGUAUCUGUUAAACUUUAACACCCGAAUCAAACACCCCCAAAAUUCAGAUAGCACUAUUUAGGCCCUGUUUAGAUGCAGCAAAAUAGCCAAAACUUUUAGAGAAAUGAGCAGUUUUUGGGUUGUAAAGAUUUGAAAUUUGGGACUUUGGAGCCCAAAAACUAUGUAAACUUGCUUAGGGGCCCAUAUCUUGUGUGUUGCAGACCAAAAAUUUUUGAAAGCAUCUAAACACCUAUUUGAAUUGUAAAAUUUACAACCAAAAGUUUUGGGACGUAAAGAUUUGGGAUCUAAACAUGCCCUUAUUAUCGUAUUUAACUUGAAACUGUAAGAAUAGAACAUGUACGAAUUGGCAUUUCAAUAUGUACUCAAUUUUGAAAAUAAUAAGUACUCCAGGCGUUCCAAAAUAAAUGCACUUGUUUCCUUAUAAGUUAAACAUUUUUAUGUAACCAAAUGUUAUAGAAAAUAGUAUUUAGAUUUGUAUCUCUAAAUAAAUAACUUAUUAUAAAAAUAAUAAUAUUUUAAAUAUAUUUGGUCAAACUUUAAAAAUUUAACUCAUCCGCGAGACGUGCAGGCCGGAGGGAGUAUCUACUUGCUUAUUGAUAGUUUUAGCAGAACAAAAUUACUAUGCAUAUAGAUAUUUAAAAUAUGACUAUAUAUACAUAACACUUGUAGAUAACAACUCAUAUAAAAAUGACAUAUAUAUUAGAAGCAUUGUUCUCUAAAUGGUCGUUUGACCCGUUUACACACCGUUAAACAUAUUAAUGGUACAUUGUUUCCUUUAGUCAGUUAUUAUCAAAUAAAUAAUAGCUAAACCGUAAACGAUCGACUGUUUACCACUCAUCAUCAUUUAGGAUAGCAUUAUAGAAGUUAAUCUCUAUAAAGAUUAUUAAUUAUCUCUAUAUUUAAAACUUUACUAUCGUAUCUUAUAUAAAAACUAAUAAUAUUUAUAUUUAGUCACUGAUGUAAGUUUUAGAUUGGUUUAUUGGGUACUUUGUUUCUUUACGAAUACAUGCAAUAACAGUAUUUAAAAUUUUUAAAAUAUGAAUACGAAAUCAAAUAGAGAAAAAUUAUAAAUAGCCAAAAUAAAAAUGCAUCCAUUUAGAAUCGGACAUAUAAAUUCAGAUAUCUAUAUAUUAACGUUAAAACAAAUCUGGAAUUUGAUUUUUCAGAUUCAGAAUCUGGCUUCGCCUUUUUUUUUGACUCGUUUAUUAAGUAUAUAAGCACGUGUCCGUGGAUAGAGUGAGUGAAAUCAAAAUGUUGUACCGUAGUACUCUCUGACUAUUGUUAUUCCCUAGAAUUUUGGAGUCGCUGUUUCUACUUCCUCCUCGUUCGCGUGUCUGAAAUUGAUGACGGGGCUCCCCCGUAUUCGGGCUACGUCGACGGGGCUGACCGGUGACGGUGAACGAAGCUGGGCCUUGUUUAGGCCUGGUUUAGUUUCGAAAAGUGAAAAGUUUUCGGUACGGUAACACUUUCGUUUGUUUGUGACAAAUAUUAUCUAAUCAUCAACUAACUAGGAUCAAAAGAUUCGUCUCGUGAUUUACAACUAAACUGUGUAAUUAGUUUAUUUUUGUCUAUAUUUAAUGUUUUAUGCAUGUACCAUAAAAUUUGAUGUGACGAGAAAUCUUGAAAACUUUUUGGUUUUCAGUCGAACUAAACAAGGCCUUAGUUCACCUCAAAAAGCAAAAAAAAAUUAAGAUUUUCCGUCAUAUCGAAUCUUGCAGCACAUGCAUGAAGCAUUAAAUAUAGACGAAAACAAAAACUAAUUACACAGCUUAGCUGUAAAUCGCGAGACGAAUCUUUUAAUCCUAGUUAGUCUAUAAUUGGAUAAUAUUUAUCACAAACAAACGAAUAGUUCACCUCAAAAAGAAAAAAAAAUUAAGAUUUUCCGUCAUAUCGAAUCUUGCAGCACAUGCAUGAAGCAUUAAAUAUAGACGAAAACAAAAACUAAUUACACAGCUUAGCUGUAAAUCGCGAGACGAAUCUUUUGAUCCUAGUUAGUCUAUAAUUGGAUAAUAUUUAUCACAAACAAACGAAAGUGCUACGGUACCGAAAUCCGAAAUCUUUUCGGAACUGAACGAGGCCCC
Molecule: long non-coding RNA, 49409 nt
Filed under: Sorghum bicolor (sorghum)
Lineage: Eukaryota; Viridiplantae; Streptophyta; Magnoliopsida; Poales; Poaceae
Description: long non-coding RNA (SBIC_LNC018239)
Source: RNAcentral